GCCAGGGCCAUCAAGGCAGCGUGUAACAGGCAGCCUUUACGUUCGAGAAACGUGGCCAGUUUUCCGCCCCGUUCUUUUGCUUUCUCGCUCUUUCCAAGGUUGUCCGUCUUCGUCGCGUUUCCCGCAGAAGCCGUGGCCUUCGAGUUGCGGAUCGAACGGAAGCUGAUUUUUCUUCUGCCAGCUCGAUUGGGGAGGAAGUGGUAAGGUGAUGUCGAGUUGGGUCAUUUUGAAGGUUCAGAAAUGUUGGUUAAUUGGCUAAUAAAAUUUAGAAACGAGGAUUUAGAUUUCUGAUAACGAAAGUUAACAGACAGCGCAUCGGUUAAAGUGUUAAGCAACAUCAAGCAACUACUCCGAGUGACUCGUUCCCAACGUAGAAUCGUCUGCGACACUAAUGAGCGUUGCGUGAUAGAACUCGUCGCAGGUGAGUGCAUCGGACGUCCCUACACACGCGGCGCUCCUUCCGGCCGCGCAAUCUUUCUUUCCUUCGAUUUUUCAUCGGCUACCAUGUCCACUUAGAGGUCUAACUAAAGAAACCCAUCGAAACUCUGAACAGCUUCAUUUUUUUCUGUCAAAUAAUUUCCACGUUCAGGCUCGUUUCGAAGCGCGUCGAACGUCGACCAGUUCGACUUCUUCGAAAAUGGAAAAAUCGAAAAGAUCGUCCGUGAAUAUCGGCCGCAGACCGAUGGCCGGAUCUCGUUCAGACGCGUUCGCUGCGACAAACAGCCGUAAUCGUACACCCGAGUAUUGUUUACCGCGAAACGAUGGUAACAUGAACUGAAAACGCAGCAGCGGUGAUUCCCACAUUCCCGGAAUAGCGUCACGCCGACGGGGCCGGCUUCCAUCCCCGUUCGCCAGCAAUGCCACCUUUCCCUCGGAAGUCUGUCGAAGCGACGCGACCGGCCGUAACCGACUGGAUGCAUCCGAGCGGACGGAAAACCGCGAGACAGCGACGACGAACCAAUUAUCUGGUUCAACUGGUGGGGUGCUAACGUUUGGAUGAAACGAUCCGAAGGGUGUAUCUUGCUGUAACGAGCUGAUCUUCGAGACCAGACAGACUACGAUACCGUCUGCGAAAAGGUGACGAGGAUUUUUCACGUCGCUCCUGUAAAUUUGCAACGGAUCGAUCUUUACGGAGGCGAAGAGGAAAGGAAAGAUGGAUGGAAAAGCGAAAAAGCUACGAAGGAGAAAGGGAGAGAGUCGAGUAGGUAACCGACGAAACGGCCGGAACAAACAAACCAGCAAACAGGCGAGGAAAAAGCAAGGAUCCGCCGUCUACGCGGCGCCUGCCCUCGCGAUUUUCGAAUUCUUCACUCGCGCGAUCGGCAUCAGAAUGUCGCGUGGGUACUCGUUGAAUGAUGCCCGAGCUUUUUCAACCGAGUAUUCGUUUUAAUACAGAGCUAGGAUAUUUACUGAUAGCGUUUACUUUCACGCGAUCCUUUAAAUCGGUAGGCUUUUUGGUCCUUCAGGAACGCGUCGAACCACCCCAUUCGUAUAAACUAUCCUUUUCUCUCUUUCUCUCUGUUUCAUUCUCUCAUCCCCGUUUACCGAAACUAUCAAUUGAUGCCGAGGUCCAAACAGAACGGCACGGUUUACACAUACGCAGCUGCACCCCCGAACAGCCAGAUCCAAAUAGAACGGAUAUAUCUGCUUGUCCAUCUGUCGUUGUGUAACGGAACACCGGCUAAUAGUAUUAGAAAUAUAUAUAUAUAUAUAUCUUCGACUAAACAACCCUAUUGUCGAACCACUCGAUCGACGCACCCCUGUCCCUCUGCAGAUUACGUCUGUAAACGCUUGUGUCGCGGCGGCUUUCGAUCGUUGCGUUACCUCGCUCCGAUUCAACCCCCGAAAAUCGGCUAAAGCGGUUCAUUGUGAUCAUCGACACUGCGAGUGGUUGAAUCACGAUUCGAUCGUGACGACUCGUCGCUUACGGAUUUCCGGUUGAUUCUGGGUCAACCCGACGGUUCUACAAAAGGAACCGGAGAGAAUUCACUUGGAAUAGUGUGAGAUUACAAAAUCGAGGACAGAUUUCUAAUUUGAUGAAGAUUUAAAAGUUAAAUGGAAUACAAGUAUGGGGCUCUUCUGUUGAAAAAUUGUUUUAUGAUAUUCUGUUACAACAGUCCUAGUAUUUCCAUUGCAAAUAACAUAAAGGAAAGAGUACCUUGUACUCUUCUAGAAUUUUAAUUAGAAUUUCAACAGAGGCUACGAUGCAAGUUUAGAAAGAAAUUUACUCGGUGUAAUAGAAUUUGACGCCUUUCAAACACCUUAGACAUUCUGGAAUUAAAUUAUAGAUAACGUCUCUGCUUAGAAAUGUUUCAAUGUUAAUAUUUCGAAAAGAAAAACAUCAAAGAUAUUCAAGCAGCGCAAGGUAUCAUCCCUUUUACGGUUGCAUCACGAUUACGAACGUACUCUGUAUGAUGGUUGAUCGUAGGUUGGAUGCAAUCGUUGCCAAUUACUCGGUUUCCCCGGGAGUCGAUUUCUCUCCGAGGCACGUUCUUGUCGUGUUCGAGCAGAAAACGUUCAGUUAUUCGAUUCGUGGCGAGAGGUACGAUCCCUUAACCGUUUUCAACGAAUGCAACAACGUGAAUCUGAUCACGGAAUAACGAGGCGAAAGUGGGAACACCUAAUUGUUCGACGGAUCUGUUGGCGAAGGAACCCUCGAACCGCUGAUAUCCUACAAUUAUCCGGCUACGGUGUGCCUCGGAUCAGAACAGUCUUGCAACAACACACGCCGAGGGACCUCGAUUGUAUUUCUAGGAGGCCGGUUACCGGAGUCUGUCGGAUAACAUUGGUACUCCUUAGUUCGUUUCGUGUCGCCAAUGUGAAAAAUUCUUGUUGCUGUUGAUUGAAUUUGCCAUGGAACUUCUUGGAAACACAAUUCAUCAGGAUAUGUCAGAGAUUUCAACCCCAGCCCCCCACGACGGGGUGGAUUUCGAUUCGCGAGAAGGACGGCAAAUGGAGACACCCUCUAACUUAUUCAAAGGCACAGAAGGUUGGCCAUACGAGCGACCAUAGGUGAACACAGCAGUCGAGUGGGUGGAAAGGGUGCAACUGGGUGAAGCAGACACCAAUGGCGAGUCUAGGACAAGUCGGGCUACGUGGAACGUCGUGGAUUUACCUAAUACUCCUGUGAUUCCCGUGGUGGGGUAAGUACUCAAGGCUUCCAACAUUAUCGCCGGCGCAAAAUGGUGUCACUCGGGGUUCACCUUUCUUCCACUUUCAUCCACAUGAAAGUUAAUACUACCGGUAAUUAAAGUUAGGUAAAACAGAAAUAAGUCGCGUGUCCUCGUAGAGGGGUUGUUUUAAUGACGAGAGAAAAAUAGGCUGAGGAGAGAGGCGAUUGAAAAUAAUACAACUGUGUAAAGACAGCGUAUACAAACUAUUUAUAUGUUAUUAUUCGCUAUCUUUGUAAGACUUCGAUGCAAAAAGGGGUGAGUCACGACAAAUUGCCGUUUUAUUCCGCGACGUUGCGAAACAUUGAUGAGCCACGAGUCGCUGUCACCAACUUUCACCCGAUCGACCUCGGGAAAAUAAUUUUUUCCCUCUAAAAGACGAGGGUAAAAAAACAUUUUCUGUUAAUUGAACAUCGUCGAACGCCGACGCGAAGCUGAACGUAUCAACGAUACCGAUAAAAUUUUGAUAAAAUAUUACGAAAACUACCCAGGAAUUGUUAAUUAUGAGAAAUUCUGUAUGGGGAACAGAAGCUCGGUCGUGCGGGGAUCGCGUCACGAUGGCGUCCAGGGUGUUUUUCGGGGUUCCAUGGGGAGGCGGUCGUUUCUCUAUUGGCGCUCACCUAGCCGGCGGUUUUUAGCUGAACUGCCCCGAAGAAAGGAGCCCUUGUACACGCCGCCAACACAAAAUGUUUCGCGCUGAUGCACGAGCACACCCUCCGUCAGAGGAGAGAGAAAAAAAAAAAUAGCGUGGAUCAUAAUGGAAACCCCCUCUCCUGUCUCUUUUUGCCGAACGCGUGUUCCACCCCCCUUGAACAGCACGCGUGUACCAUCGAGAAUUUCCGAAAUAUAUCCCUAUUGUCGGCCGAAGAAUGGCCGGAAUUCUCGUCGCCUUUCUCCAUCUUCCAUGGUUUUUCACAGAAAACCUUGGUAGAUCGUGUUUCCGUGAUUCUUUGAACACGACUACCCUCUGCUCCCCUAUUGACACGUAUUUUCUUUUUUUUUCCUCGUCGAUAGAAUAAUUUCCGCAUUCGAACGACAAGAAUUUUCGUCGAAUUCUUCGAGGAUGGUUAGGGUAAAAUGUAGACAAAAUAAUAAUGUCCAUGUCUGGAACAGAUCUAUAAAAUCCAAGAGAUUUUCCGAAACUGCACGAUCUUCGAUUUUCGUUCCCGCAACAAGAGAAAUCGCAAACGAAACGAAUCCUGCCCGUUUGCCUUCCCACUUAAUAACUCUUUCCUGCGGCGAGCAUAUCGAAAGAGAGGAGUAAAAAUGGCCGUUGGGUGGAAGAGAUAGGAGAUAAGUCGCGGCUCAUAUCGGCAUUAUUCGAGGCCGGGAAUCAUGCAAAUUUCACGGAGCGGAUUAUAACGAAGCGAACGCCGGGAUCCGCGUGGAUCCGGUGGCCGAUAAAGAGAACACGGUUAACGAGUUAUGAUCGAAUAAUGAUAAAUUCCUCUUACCAGCUACCAGCUGCUCGCUGGAUCGUUAAGCUCGGCCAAGCAACGUCCCACCUCGACGCGGCUGUUUCGAGCUUUUUCUCCUCGCUCCCAUCGCGAUUAAUGUCUUCAUGAAGUUCUCCAAUGAUACUCUCCAACAGCGAACCUUUGCCAUUUUCGUUUUUUAAAUCGUAGAGUGUUAAAUAAAAUCGCGAAGCUUUAUCCAGUGAUCUUUGAAAGCUUCGUGCUUACAGUUCGAACGUGGUGGAUUUUGAAAUUGAAAAAUUAUCCGAUAUGCAACAACGUAAUAAUAUUCUUCGAGGCUUUCAGAUCCGAGUUCGCCUCGAGAGUUAAUCUAAUCUUCAGAUAAGACUGCAGGUAACUUCAUCGGUGAUCGGAGGAUGUUGUGGUACAGUAUCAUUAAUUAUAAGCAAUUGCUUACAAGCUUGUGAAACGUUGAUAGGAUCGGUGAAUAGACAGGGUGUCCUAUUUGUAAUAACCACCUUGAAUAGUUCAAUCACUUUCGGUAUUUUUAAAUAAAUUAUCUUAGAUUUUGACGUUCGGACAAAUUUCCAGUGAAUCAAGUUCGUAAUUCUUUUAUUUUUCACUUGGACGAUGAUUCAAUUUAUUCUUCAAUGAAUAAAUUAAAAUUACCUGAGUGAAAGAAAAUUCUUAAAUGGAUGGAAAAGAAGAAUACGAGAUUUCUAGGUGCGCGUGAUUUCACGUGGAACAACUCGUGUAACGUGGUGACAUGUAAGGCCCCCGCCUCCCCGUCGCUACUGGAAAUAACCCCUUAUUAUUCGAAGCACUCCCACCAUAGUGUACGACCGGCAAACCGCGGUUCGCCAUUACGAAACCGCGUUUCCACCGCUGUUCUUCGACGUCUGUUAUUAAUUCCGUGUAGACCUCGAUGACGUGCCUUAUGUUAUAAAUUCACGUCGCUGUCGGAAGGAGGAGCCGGUGAAAUCGGCAGGUUCGCAGGCUAAUUUCAUCGUUCUCGAAUGAACCGAACGUUCCAAUUUCAAUUAGCAAAAAAUUUCUCCUACAGAAUUCCGCUGCUUGUCGAUCAGCCGACGAUCGUAAACAGCAUUAACUCGGUGAAAAAAGGUAGUCGUCGGUUGGCGAACGCGUGGCAAACAAGUCAUUUCAUGAAUAACAAGGAUGAUUCCAACAAUAGGGUGCAAUUACAGCAGGAAUAACCGGGCUGUCGCAAUGCUCGCUGAAGGGCCGAGCGAACAAAGAGACUGCGAGUCCCGAAUUUCGCAACGCCGCGAAACGUGACGCGGCAAAGGGACAUCGGUUUGCGCUUUCCGGCCACUAACAGGCCUGUCGACGAGGGUACGGGACGUGCAGGGAGGAAGAAGAUUUAAGCAGAAGCUUGUGUGGACAAGCCAGAAAAUUAGCGACAUCCGCAUUCAGCGCUAAAUCGUUCCCCGUGUUCUCCUCUUUCUAUUGUCGCUAGCUCCUCGACUGUGAAACUUUUGUUAAGGCCUCGCUCGAGGGUUUUCCGCGGAACCAUCGUACUUCCAUGGUCCUGGCUAAAUUUUACCCAUUAUCCCGUUGAAUCGAUAAACCAACGCGAUUCGAUCGUCGCGACAUUUUUUCAUUUCUAGACAUUUCGGAUCUUUCCAUCAAAUAAUUUCAUAAAAUUCUCGCCUUGCUUUCUGUGAUUAGCCAACAGCGACAGCAACAAAGUGUCCGAAGGGGGUGAAGUUGAGCCGAGACCGACGGUCCUCGGUUUUCUGGCUGUUCUGUUAUUUUUCUAUUAUUAUUGCAACGGUGGCUGGCGUUGACGGCGGUGAAGAUUGUACGCCGGAGAAAGGCGCGGCCCUUUUUAUUUCAACAUUAUCCUUUUGUGCCGGACCCAGAGAGUCGAAGGGACGGAAGCGUGGCAAAGAAUUUCGCGGCUAGGCAGAGGAUGAGGGGCGGCGGUGGCAAGGGAGCGGGCUUCCAGAAUUCGUAAACCGGCAUGAGAACCCGCGGAAUGCUUUCACAUAAAGACGCAACCCCAUAAGACUUCAUCCCCCUUUAUGUGGAACGUUCUCGCCCCCAAAAAGCGCGUCCCACCGACCACCACUAACUCUCUCUCUCUCUCUCUCUCUUUGUAUGUGUUUGUGUAUACGUGAGGUAGAACGUACAGCUCAGCUACGGGAUCGAUGUUUCCUCCUUCAUCGGGGAGUGUAGCUCGUGCGUAAAAACCAACCCCCAAGAUCCACCCCAGCUACCCGUUUUCUUCGUUCACAGAACCAGUGUCGAGGGAAAGAAAGAGAAAUCGCGUUGAUUAUUUACUCGCUUAGAUUUCGUGGUUGAGAAAAAAAAAGCGAAAGAAUUUCCAUUUCCAUCAAACUCAGCAAAAAGACGAAUAGUUACAAUUUACGCUAACAGUCGAUUUUCACCCUUGCCUCUUUUUUGCUAGUAAUCAGAGCAAUCUCGAACACCGAUCUUCAAACUUUAUCUCUCCUUCGAUUCGUCUCUUCAUCGACGAAGGGUGCUGAAGUUCAAGGACAGAAAAUGUUUCUUCCAUUAACGGAUUUGAUUAGGAUAAUGGUUUCUUUUUCUCUGUAUUUACUCCCAGUUCGGUGUAUCUUGGUGUUUAUUAGACCGUCUCGUUCCGUGAUCCUCAGAAGCUGAGGGAACCAGAAACAUUCUUCGAGCCUUUGUCCGUUUACGAUCCGCCUGCCCUCCCAAGGGGUGGCUUUUAUCCUUGGGCGGAGUGUACAGUGAGUCACGAUAAUAUUCGCACUACCCCUACUCGUUCAUUUCGAACGAUCGCUGCCGCUCUCGUGCGAACGCGAUGGAGGCGCCACCGACAGGGGUCGUCGAUUGGAUUAUCAAUGAUAUUUUGCUGCGAAACGGAUUUGUGAUAUUUAUGGUAUUUCUAUCGAAGCUAGACAUUUCAAACGAAAGAGUUCGAUGGAAUAUGAGAAUGAAAUUGAAAUGGUGGCCGUUCGCAACGGUCCGCCGUCGGAGGGUUAACAAGAUUCCGAUUAAUCGGUAGGGAGCGGGCAAAGAGGAGCCGACCAGCCAAGUUUUCCCGGCGUCCGAGUGGUCCAGAUAGCCACGGGGAUGGCUCCUCUUUCUAUCCAGGCCCGUUCUUUUUAUUCCCUGAUGGCUGUCAGGAGCGCUGUUGGCCAUGGCGCCACCAUACGCGGCUCAGAAACGGUGGAACGGAGAAAGAGAAGGAGCUCUGGGAGCCGGCGUUGCGUCGAGAACGGACGAAAGUGCACGCUUGCUGGUCGUUUUUUAAAAAUAAAAUGGCGGCCGCGCCGAGCGACGUUGCAGGGGACGAAGAAAAGGGUGAAGAAGAAGAAGGGGAGAAGUGAGGGCAGGCGGAGAAGGAGGAAAGGAGAGAGAAGGGAGAGCCGAGAGAGGACCACCGGAGAGCCGUUCUGCGAUUAGACUUACAAAACAAACGGCCCGCCGGUCCGGACCACGCAGACCAAUGGCGUAGCACACCGAUCCCGACAAGGGACACGAGAUAAUUGGAUCAAGAACCCAGCGAGAGAGCGCCUCGUAAUUUUCGAUCGGACCAAGGUCGACGACCUUGACUCCCAGCACGCACCGUUUCGAAAUCCUUGCGGAUAGAAUGGUCCGGGAUCCUUGCCAUUCGACUUACAGCUACGGAAGCUUUCGAUCGAUCGGGUUAUCUCCUUCCUACUGGUCACCGAUUGUCCAACUUAAGAAUUUCCAAAUUUAUUUUUACAUAGAAGCUUCCUUAAAAGAAUACAGAAAUCUUCAAGUAAUUUUAAAGAGUUAAUAAUCCUACGCUAAAGCACCCUCAGAUCUUUAACCCCACUCCAGAUUACCUCAAAAUUGACACCUGAAGUUUUCCUCUCUAAUCCAAGUCCACCCCUAAGUCUAAGACUAAACCACCCCAAGACACUGGAACAGAAGGUAUACCCUCGCGACAACGACACACAUUCCAUCCCUCUGGUGGCCCAAAUCGUCGUCUCUCGCGCGAUUAAACCAGCAAGAAAAAGAGGUCCACGAUCGUUGGUCCGGGGAUCGAAGCAGAAGGUGGCUCUCCACGACAACGUUAACUCUAGGUGGUGCACCCUGGAGAAGAGAGGGGUAGCAGAGAGAGAGAGAGAGAGAGGGGGGUAGGGUGUCCACCUCCUAGAAACGCGUAGUAGCCUCUAGCCUCUAUUGAUCGAACUGCCCUGGGCUCCAGUGGAGUGGACUGGACACACCAGCGGCAACCCCUAACCUAACCAUCUCCGUAGGGUGUGUGUACAUGUACGUGUUUGUCUGCACACGAACUACGCUAGCCGAAAGACGGCCAAAACGAUCCUCGAGGCUGGUCAUCCCGGGGGUGGCGGGACACUUGGACGCGUGGCUGGAAAGCCACCCCCUCCUGGUUCUACGAGUUCUCGCACACGGUUGUGUGCGACCGGGUAACACGUACACCCACGGCUUUAUUGGACCCAGCGGGUAUUGAGCGAAGGUGAUCGCCUGGUAGAAAGCGAAAUAUGAAAUUCCACCGCACACCGUUGCAUCGAAAUUCGUCUAAGAAUCGAUUCGAAGUUGAAUUAAACGUGGCGAUGGAUUUUUCUACGGUGAAUUUAAUGAGGAAACGGUCGCGAUAAAUUCGAACACCGUUCGAACAAAGAGCCACGAUGAAAUCGAGCCGAAGCGUGGACAAAUUAUGAUCGCUGCCGAUUUGUUGGCUCGACGUUGGUUAACCGGCUGAAUUUCAAUUGCACGCGCCGCUCGAUUGAGCACGAAAAAGACAAACAAGCUGGUAAUAACGCGGCUCCGAACCGAUAGUUAAUGGAACUGUCAACGAUAUCGCAUUAUAACUGGAAUUGUCACGCGACAACCGCGUUGCACGAACCACGGAUUUUCAAGCAACCCCUCCGCCGCCCACCCUUCGUUUCGAUGAAAUCGAUCGUACGAUUAAUCGACGAGGAGGCAGAUAGAAGGAAAAAAAAGCUUCACCGCUUGUCGCGUGAUCGCGAAUUUUCCUCUUUUGCCCUCGCUGAGGGAAAGCCGCAACCCCUGCGAGCUUUCGAGAAACCUCCGAGGAACGCGAGUUUGUUUUGCCUUUACCCUGGGAAAAAAAGGAACGUGACUAAGCAUUGUUUGCACGAUCGUUCUUGAGUGGCCCCUUCGUUCCUCUCUCGUCAAAUAAAGUUUCCUUUAUUUUUCUCGUAGUAUUUUCAUCUUUGAUUUUCAAAUUCCACCGUUCCCGUUAAUCGAAGAUGAAUAUAAUAUGCGAUAAGUCGCGCGGAUGUAAGAAAUCUCGUGGCAGAAUCUGACGGGCCACGGAACAGCGACAGGAAUUCCGGUGACUUUCUAUUCAAAUAUUAUCGGGCAUAGUCACGACACGCGAAUCACGACCGCUGGAAUAGUUCAUUAUGGACAGUUGUAUGGUAGCGGUUGCUGCACCGGAGGCGAUCUAUUUGCCCAUGGAUACCGGUUCCCCGAUAUCUUACCACUCGGAUAAUCGCUCCGGAUCGCCAGCGUGUCCGUACAGAUUAAAGGAGUGUUCCCCUGUCGUUGAUCUUGUUAUUGUUUAAUACCGGCGGCUGGGAAACAACAGCGGUAGUCAACUUGUAGUUGUUCGAAUCGGUGUAUUGUUUAUUAUACAACAGGGAGAAAUAAUACCUGAAGUCAAUAUGCGAAAUAACAUUUGCUCAUAGGCGAAUAUCAAUUUUUAGUUUUAGAAAAAUUGUGGAAAAUUGAAUUUAGAGAAGUUUGAAAGGGGUGAGAAUCUCGCGAUCGGAAAACGACUAAGGGGCCAUUAUCGAAUUCACUUAGAGGGCUCGAUCGACGAGGCUAUUAUCGAAUUUACCUAGCGUGGCCAUGGUAGGCAAAGUGCAUCCACGACAUCAAGUAAACAAGGUUGCAGCUCGUACGAAGUUAGCCGUGCACAGGUAUGCUGGCAAAAUUCGGGCCAACUUGCCAUUAUCGUGAAACAGCAUUGUCCCGUGGCCAACGUGGACGUUAUUGAAUCGAAUUACGAGGAGAUCGAUCCUCUGCCAACGAUUUCUUUCCUAUAAAAAUGCUAGAAGAAAGAUUUUAAACGAUGACACUAUACGAUAUUGUUCCAAAUUGACCCAUGACAGUGUGAAUUCUUCAAAGUCUAUUUAAAUCCAACUCAUAAUUCCAUAAUUCAAAAUUCUUCUUAAGAUUUACAAGAAGAAUAAAUCAACAAAUCCUCGUGUCGUGUCCAUUCCUCUUUCCAAAUCCUUCCAGAAAAAAGUGGCGUUGUUGAACAACCCCGAAAGGCGCAUGGGGGUGCUGUAGGAAACACGCGUCUACGUCCCCGUAUCCAAGGGUCGAUUUUGGUCGUACUCUGGUCGAUAGGAAUGGAAGAUGCUAGGCGUCCCUUCCAGGCGCCUUUCCCGUCAUCUAUCACUCGUCGCUACUCACCCCCUUCGCGUCGCGAGCAAGAGGGACGCGGUUGGGAGGAGGCGUCGAGCCACGGGGUCGUAAGUCAACGGGGGUGGUGGUUAUCAGAGCGUGGAGGACAGAGUCCGUGGAAGCUGCCGCGACUCCUGGACGUUUUACUGGACCGUGAAAAUCAAGGACGAAACUAGGGAUCUUGUACCUUUUUUUAUGCGCUCUUGAAUUUUCGAUGAAACUGAAGAAAUAUGUUAGCGACAAAAUUAAUUUUCUAAUUAGCGAGAACUUCUAACAAUUUUCAAGAGAACCACGGUGGAAAUGAAAAUUUUCCAGGAGGUUUCUUAGCCACGAUAUUUGGAACGCGACCACUGGGGGUGACAGAAACAUUUGCGAGGGUUGUUUUCGUGGGUUCGAAACGAAGUUGGUUAGUUUCUUUCUGUAGUUGGUUUUGUUGAUGACACCGACGUUGUAACCAUUUAUAGAAUUUAAACAAUUGUUUCCAAAAUACCAACCCCCAAAUAUCAUCCCUUUCUUGUAAGAUGCGUAAUAGUAAUGUUUUCAGAAACGAAAUGUGAUUCGAUCCAGGCGAAUGUUUAAACAAACGAGCAAUUAUCUUAACUCGAUCUCGGAUCUUCAGGGUGUCCUGAUCCUGAAUUAUCGGCCUCUUUCUUCCGCAGGUUAACUCGCCUUCUUCUUCAGCCCGCUCUCCUUUCUCUUUCUUUCCUCUCGUUAAGGCCCCAUGGCAGGAUCGUUCGGGGUUCCGAAGAUGUCGUCGGCCCCGACCACGUAAAAAGCACCCGGGGACACGCAUUUCAUUUGCUCCUCGUGUUGAGCGUUGUCCUUCUUCGUGUUCUGUCGACCGCAGCCCCCUUUGCUAACCGUGUUCGUGCCCUAUGGGGGUUACUGUAUACAUCUCGAAGAUAUUUCUCAUUAAAAUUAAAUUUUCAUAUUUUCUAUUUAAAUUUAUGACACCCUUCAAGGAUUCAGAUACAAAACAAUCAUCGAAGUAUCCAAAACAGACAAACUCUCGCUUACAGAUCCUGACGAGAUCCAAAUAAAACAUAACGUACCCUGUUUACCUACCCUACCGUACCCUAACGGUCCACCCUAAUUCUGUUCAUCCCUCGCUCACGCGAAUCCAGUCCGCAGCUACAAACAGCUCAAUCAAGAAACCGUAAACAACCGAAACGUAGGAUCAGGAUCAAGUCCCGAGGGUGAAAGAAGAAAAAAAAAAAAAAAAAGAAGAAUCAUCUGACCCGAUCUCGACCAAUCCCUAUGCUCGACGAGUAGUCCUUCAGCGAACGAGUGUGCCGCAAAAAUCGACGGUGACAUAGAUUCUAUAAAUCCCUUGUAGAAGGAAGAAGGCUGACGAUUCGAGAAACCGGGUCUCGCAUUCCACGAGAUUUUUUGCCGUCCAUAGGAAGGAAUUAAAGGAUAACGCUACGCGACGAAUCCUUUCUACCGGCUUCCCUUUUUCUUCGGUCAGAUCUACGGCCGGUUGGCCAUAGGCUGGUACAAUACUAUUGUCAGAGGAACAGAAGGAGGAUGCGCCGAGCCAGACAGUCGUAGAAACCAUUUCGCGGACGGUUGAUAGCAGGACAAUAAACGAGCGGUAACCAAGCGGACAGGCAGAAGUAGCGAGAAGGUUCAAGCGGGCAGGAUCUGUUUAACGGGAUGAUCCGUGCGGAAAAGAAAGGAUCGCGGCCGACGUCGAUCAUUUUUCCCAGCAUUUCAGGCCUAAUUUCCUUCUGACAAAGAGAGCACCCUGCGCAAGCUUAACCCCCGUGGAACAUUGCCCUGAAAGCAAGCUUGUAUUCGAAAGCUGGUGUACCAAUUACAGGGUCGUACUAGAAAUAUAAUAUUUCUUAUCUUCCUGUUUUCGAAGAUUCCACCUUGCCGUGCGAUACUUUUUGUCUAGUCGAGCGAGUACUGCGUUCGAAUAUCUUCAGCUUCGUCCUCUGAAGCGGACCACGGGCUUCCCUCUUCCUAUUUCCCUGCCGGAGGACUCUGUUCGAAGAUCGGCUCUCCUUUGAUGUCCCUAUCGCGUCCUCUUUGUCUUUGGUCCGCUCGUACCUCGCUUCUAACCCUUCCUACCUUCCACUUCUGUCUCGUGUGCCCCUCUGUCGUUCGUUUUUCUGUGUCGCGCGUGCGUUCCCGAUGAUUAUGGUGAUGCCGUGUCCUCGUGCGUGAGCUUCUUUAUGGUUGAUUGGCUCGACCGUCGACGUAUAUUGCCGCGAACGGCUCGGCACCGCCGCGAUAAAGCGCGAUCACAGGACUGCUAUGGGAACGCUUUUCAAAGGGACGUCACUUGGUCCGAUUAUAGGGAUUCUGAAUUGCGAAAUGGUGAACUUUGGUACGAUUAGUACGUAUAAUUCUUGCAUCGAUUCACGCUUCUUGAAAUUAAUAAACUACUUGUAAUUAUAGUUGAUUUUAGACUUAUUGAAGAUCGUAGGUUAUUAAUCUAAUUGAAUAUUUUAAAGAUUUAAUUAAUCCUCGAAUUAGUCGUCGAGUAUUUUCAAGAACAUGAAAAACACGGUUCGAAGCAUCCCGAGCUGAUGCUACGAACAACACUCCGUCCAUCCGGAAAUCGUGAAAACAUUGGAAAAGAAAGGAGCUCUUUCUUCCGGAAUCUCGGCUAAUUCCUCUUCUGAAAGUUACACGGAUGAUCCAUCGGUAUACGGGCCAUUGUGCCGCCGAAGGGAUUUGCGAAAUUCGAAUAACAAGGCCAGAGGAGUGUUUAGGACGACAAUAGUAAUGGAUACGUUUAAUCCAAUUGCCGCGGAAUGGGUGCCUGGGCCUGUGCCGACAAUGACUAAGCAGUACCCAAGGCGGAGCGUGACAAUGUCGAGAAAUAUUGGAUAAGCGUGACGGGCCAGACCUCUUGGCCAGGUAGACAGGCGACACGCUUAACCAAUUUCGGGGAGAAUGGGGUCUAAAUUUGCUUAAAAUUAGGCCUUCUUAGGCGCCCGUUUUGCCCGAGUGCUCGCUCGAUGACCGUCUUUUGCUCACCAUUGUCGCGGAAACCGAGACCACUCGAGACUUCCUUUUGUGACGAACGGAAAAAUAGAAAAAACGAAUUUGGAAACCUGAAGGAUCUUUUUCGGUAGAACAGUAUUCGCCUGUAUCUUGUCCCUUUGCGGACCUGUUUAACAUGUUUCGAAUAACAAAGCUGGAUUUGCAAUGAAUGGUUCAGAGAUUUCACCAUCUGAAUGGAUGAUACUCGAAAGAAGACUAUUUUUCGAACCUCCGAUGAAUGUAGUUAUUGGAAACCUCUAUCGGCAAACGCAACUAUCCAAUUUUACAAAAUCAUUUUGGAAAUCAUUUUGGUACCCCGAAAAAGGCAGCACACACAGUCGGUCUUGAUCGAAGAGUAGACCGGUCCCCGAUCAACGAUCGCGCCGAUUUAUUCCGUCAGAACGACGAGCUGGCUGCCCUUUGUUCUCGGUGACUUACAUCGAUAAUCCCGCUCGGUCCCGACACGGUGGCCCCUCCCGCGUCCCUCCGUCUCGUGGCGCAAUAUCUCGACGGCGAGGCCUGUGGCACGCAUAAAGGCAGCAACGGCCCCUCCGCUGGGUCCAGGGCUUGGUGAAACCGGCGCUUGCUCUCCUCUCUCGAUCUCUCCGUCUCGCUCUCUGCCGGUUCACCGCCCCCUCGCUGCCCGUCCGUGGCUAACAAGAGGAUUCACCAUUCACCUGUCACCGGGUCCGAGGGCGGUUAGUUAUAGUUUAUUUAUCGUUUCCACGUAGGCUGGUGUUUGAAAUACGUUUACACCGCUCGUAUGUUCACCCUUUCUUUCAGUGUGGGUAUGGCGCCGGCGUGUGUGGUCCGGCGCAUACCAGCCACACGCGGCACGGACAACUAUUGUCCGAGCGUGGUGCAGCGUGCACCGGUGCAACCCGCGGACAGUUGCAAGCCGCGCGGACCGCCGAGAGAUGUCUUAAGCAGAUUGGCCAGGACGCGCAUGAACCGACCGCCGUGUAAUCGCGCUCCGGCUACGUACGCCUGCAUUUUUCAACGAUUUUCAUUUUUCCGUGCACUUGCGGUGCAUCUAUGCACCAUAGAUUAGGGCUGGAUACGUUUUGGGUAAAAAAUUCGGAGGUUAAGACUUUGGCGAGUUUAUUUCACUGUGAAACGCUUCUAAUUCAUUCCACAGUCCAUUUUGUAUUCGCCCAAUUACACAUGUCUUAACGAAAGUGAAGCUGACACGUUCGAAUUCUUGCAAUCCGCUUCCCAACCACUCUCAUUUUCGCCAGAACGAUGUCCAGCUGCAUGUAAACAGACAUCCAUUAGCCCGGGGUUACUGUCUCAUGUUCCCGGUUGUACGCAUUGAAAUCCAGCUCCAUGGACCCGGGUAUCAGUCGGCAACAAAGCUUUCCACCCUCGUUUACCGAAAUAAUUAACGUUCGAGGAAAGGUAGAGGUAUUAACGGGACGCGAACAUUAGGGUUAUCUGAUCAGCAGAUCUUGGGUGGACAAGAGACGGUUUGGCGUUGGGUAUUUCCAGCGGUGUCCUAGCCCGUCCACCGCAGCAAAGGGUAGUUUCUUCGUGGCAGGAGGGGGUGGACGGUAUACCUGGAUAUCAUAGGCGAACGUUUGACACGUGAUGACAGCUCAUGGCGCCACCAACCCCCUGCAGUUCCACUCUCCGCAGGGGUUCUACCUCGGCCCCAAGGAUUCUUUUGUUUCAGGCUCAUUAACGUGUUGCCAAACCCUCGUCGUUCUACCUUCGGGGAGCGUCCUGGUCCGUCAACGACCUGGUCGAGAGCCAUGCGUCACGACUGCACCCUGCUGCACGUUUCUAACGGUCGAGGGGAUUGAGUAACCGAGUGGUACGUUCGUGGAGGAUACAUUUUUUCCACAAGAAAUUCCAUAAAAUCGUAGAGGAAUGCAAACAACGAGGAACGAUGAACGUCGCGUCGCGUCGAUUGAUCGGUGGGUUCUGUUAUUGGCUCUCCCCUUGCCUCGGAUAGGGUUUGCUUAUCUUUGUCCCGACGAGUUAGUUUUACGUUUCACGUUGCACAGCAGGAGCCAGUGGCGAGGUUUCGCUCGAGGCGAGGUACAAGGUAGAUCGUGUUGGAGGAAAUUAGUGAGCUGGUACAGCGAGAGGAUCAACGAUUUAGCCGAGUUCAAGUGAUAAGGUGGUUAUCUUGAUCUUACAGAGAGAAGAUAAUACCUGGACAAAUGCUACAGGUUCCCUAAUUUCUGUCGUUCAAUUUUAACGAGCCCGGAGAUAAAGACGGUUCCGAAUCAUCGAUCGGACACUAAGAAGCGCGCGAGAAGGUGGCGCGAUCGCUCAACCUCCAGUCCGAGUUUAAUCGUUUUUUCUUUGGUCGGUUGCUUUAAAGAAUCGCAGCUCUCCGUGUAGCCGCGUUUCGUCGGACAAUUCACGAGACGCUGCGGUGUUGUUUCUUGCCCGACAGAAGGAGCCGCGACCGGCCUCUCAUCAGCUCGCCAGGCUCGGCUCAUCAGCGUAACUUCGACUGUCAGCGGGGACAAGCGGCCGGUUGAAGUGUUUAUCGGCGAUGCUUGCCGACCGUACAGUCCGACGUUACAAGCGCCGGUUCGUGUCCGUCGUGUCGUACCGGCAAAUCACCGAAUCGACCGCAGGACGCUGUGGAAUCCGCAGCAUUCGGCAGCGGGACUCUGGCAUCGGGGGAUCGCCGCGACUACCGGCCGUUGAAAAGACUGGAAUUGCGGUCGUGGCGUGCCCCAGACCGGGCCAACCUGCGGUUCCCAUCGAUCUCCUCCUCUCGCUAUUCCACGUCCUAUCGAGAUCCGCCGAACCGUUUGAUCGUCGACGACGGUCCUCGAUGAACGGUGAACAGCAACGAAUCUUCCUCUUCUUCCUCCGCUUCCGUGUCACCGUUUCCAAGGAAGAUUUUACUCUGCCUUAAAUGCUAGAGAUUCUGAAGGUUUGCUACGAGGAAUGUUGAAGAUACCCAAAAGCCUCGAAGAGGAUGAACGUUGAUCGCGUAUCUACCACCUGUUCAGUAUCAGAAAUCAUCCUUAUCAGCUUCUCUCCCAAGUAGCUGAUCAUUCUCAGCUGCUUGUAUCCAGCAGCACACCUAACAGAGCAAUCGAACAGCAAGGACGGACCAUCCCACGACGAAGAACACGGUCCCGGAACCUAUUGCCGCGAAAGCUAUUGACGUGGAUCUCGAUCCGGGGAAUGGAAAAGCAGCCCGCUCCUUUAGGUGGUCCAAUAAUAAGACAAUAAGUUAGGCGUACCGGGCUGCUCGAGAGCCGGUUGAUAUCAGUGUGGGAUCGAAAUGCGGCAUAGAAGAGACGCGUAUGCGCUAGGGAGCGAGGAAGCAAGCAAGCAAUAUGUUGGUUAGGAAGAGGAAGAGAGAGGAGGGAGGGAGCCGAUCGGAACCCAUGCCGGACGAAAGCAAGUGGUAUGCCCGGAGUGGCGCCAGAAGUCUUUCCUCGUCCUUCUAGCUCCCUUGCUCGGUCCAUAGUCAUCUUCGUCGCACCCUGGGCCAUUAUCCUCCAGCCGGAGGACCGCUAUCUCCCUUGGCGUCCCUCUCGAAACGGCGUCGAUCCAAUUCUCUCCGCGCAGCCUGCCGGCAGGAACUGUGGCUUUCGACCACGGGGGAACAGAAAUUAAUAAUCUCUCGGCGAAGAGGCGCGCUUCAUUCUCUCGUUCUCUUCGUCCCUUUCUAUCCUGUUAUGUCUAACUGGUUGCAUUCCACUCGUUAAGCAAGGGAAUCCGCGUGAACGGCGUUGUGGAUUCCGAUUCUUAUGUAGUCGGCGUCAGUUCCCAUCAAGACUGACUAAUUAAAGGGGACUCGUCGUGAAAGGAGGCUCGACGAGCCGGACUUUCGACUUGUGUAUUAAUGGGAUACCGAUGUCACGAUCUUUAUGACCCGGACGAUCUAUCGAACGGCUCUUUAUGCAUAAAUAACAUCGACCACUCGUUUAUUCCUACAACCUGCACCAAUUGACCCUCGUCAUCCCUCUACCGCGUCAGCUUUUCGCGCGAUUUUCUCGCGUUCCUGGACGCCCGAUUGACCCGUCGACGCCCCCAUUUUACUUCAAAAGUCUUUUGAUUCAUCCUCUACCUUAGAUCGGUACCCAAGUCUCUCGUGACUCAUAGUAUAUUUUACAUCAUUUUUCUCUGCCUGUAAUGACACCAAUUUCCAGAAGGUCAUCACAGUUCACACGAUGUUCCAUGUAACCGAUUCUAUAAACGUACGCUCGGUACCAUCUUCGGUAGCCGGCAACAAGCAGGUCACCCGUCCCACCCAGCCAAGCGGCGGACCCUCUCGGCGAGCACUUCCUACGCCGGGGAAUCACGGAGCGUCGUAAAGCAAUUAACAGUUAUGGUAAUAAUCGCUAACGAUCCCCGGGGACGGAGUGUCCCCGGCGCGGAGGUACAGAAAAAAGGAGGAACGGAAUCGGUGAGGAGAUGGAGGCCGAAAAAGGAGUGGCCUGACUGCCGGGGCUAGGCAGAAGGGCGGCGGCGGCGGCGGCGGCGGCGUCUAGCAAGAUGGAAGGGAAGAGCGAUCGAGCGAGGAUUAUACGACUGGACAUUUCGGGCAUUUUUACGAAAGGGACGCGCAGGAACGCGUGUUCUAUUAGCUAAGACAAAAGAGCGGCGCCUAGACUGAGGGCGAAGGGAGACGGGAUCCCGAAACUGUCCGACAGCGUUUAUUUAUGCGGCAAACCGCGGAAAAAGAUGUAAGUCCUCGGGGGCCUGGUGCAUUCCUGCGCCAGGUCCAGCACGCCCGACAGGGAUAUUAUCUAGCAGGAUAUAAUCGACGUGUCCUCCGACUCGUAAGGACAUAUUUUUACCGAACCGACCUGAACCGACUCGAGUGGCACACCUGGGCCACUUUGCACUCUCUGUCAUCGUGUCCAUGGUAUGAUUCAUUUAUAAAUCAUUACUUUCUCUAUCUAUUAUUAAUUCCUUAAUUAUUUCGCGAUGGAAAGAAAGGAAAGCGUGAAGAAUGAAACCGAUACCGAUUUCUUCCUUUAUAGAAAUUGAAAUCAUUUUAUGUUUAGACUAAACUAGGGGUAGGUUCACCCUAAAUCGUAUUUAAAUCUCUAUUUUAAAAGGUUGAAUUUAGGUUUCUAUGGCCUCUCGAUGAAUUGAUAAUCCAGAGGGAGGGUCUCAGAGUAAAUAAACACAGGAGGGGUGGAAAAAGGGUAAAAUAGAUUUAUCUUAUCUUUCAUUUAAUGAACUAUCCAGGUUUGAUUUAAAUCGAUAUUUAUUGCACGUUUCUUGGAAUUUAACUGACCGUUUGCAAGAACAACAUGGUGGGACGGCUUUCCAGCACGAUCACGGUCGUUUUCUUUGAUUUAAUCUCGCGCAAUGUCGCGAACGAGAGACCGGCCACGCGCAAUAAGCGAUGCACUCUCGCGCAACUUUAUCGUAAUCCAUGCAAAUUUAUUCCGUUCGUCUCAAAGGACUUUGUUCCGGGGCCGAUCCUCGAUAUUCCUCCCCUCCCCCGCUCGGAAGAAAGUAGAGAUCUUGCAGUCGAGUUUUUAAUGAAUAAAACAAACCGACUCGCUCGUGCAAAUUCACUACUUUUAUGCUCGGAGAGAGGAGGAAAAAAAGAACAGGACACGUCAGACGUCGCGUCAUUGAUUUUAUUAAUGAAAAUAGGAUACAUUGUAUUUUAAACGUUACUUUCAGAAUAUCUUCCACUAUGAAUUUUAAUUAAGCUUAGACUAACAAUGAGCGCAAGUUUUGGAAAAGGAUGGAAAAGGGGUGGCUAUCAUGAAAUGAUCUUCGAUAUAUGAAGUAAAGCUGGCCGAGCAUCGUGGUCUGGCUAUUAAUGAACGUAGCGUUUCGAAGCGAGCACCGUAAACGUUUCCAAGCGAAGUCCUAUGGAUAUUUGCGUGCCGUCUCGUGGAAAGGACGAUAAUUAUGGGUGGCGCGAAAGCACGUAACGUUCGUGUUACCGUAAAUUGUUGGUCGAACACGGCAUUGUGCUUCUGGAAAUCGGUGAUUAAAAAAAAUGAGAACGGGGAGAGUGUUUUCCCUUCGUUGCCUCAUUUUCAGGGAACAAUGGAUGGAAAGAUUUUCCAGAAGAAAUGAAAAUCUUGUAAAGGACCAUUGCAACGGUAUCUUGUCUUACACCCUUCGAUGAUAAUAAAUAUGUUUACUCGUACGGUAUCGGUGGUACCGAUGAUGUAUUCAUGCCAGAAGCAAAGAUAACUAAGAACGGAUAACUCGUGCGAUAAAUUCAAUCGUAAAACAAGGAUAACUCCACGUAGCGAAAGAUGGACUCGGUAUUUCAGUCGCGUUGAUGAUUAAUCGAACGUAGCCGGGAUCCGUGACACAAUCAAUUCGCGAAACGCUCACGGACGUGAUGCUGCAACGCCGACAGCGUGACUCGAUGCGUCGCGUCGUGUCGCAUCGCACGCGCUCCACGCAUACACAUGCAACGUUCGCAUUAUGCAUUAUUCCCGGCUGGAUUACAAUGACAAUGACCGCAAUAACGAUCGAGACGGAUCGGAAGAGAGGCGAGAAGGGGACGACGGGACAGCCGACAGCUCGGAAAAUUGCUAACAAAUAAUGCAGCCGGCAGCCGAAGGGGGAGACGAGAACGAUACCGGGGUGGAUCCGUCUUCGAACGACCCCAUGUUACGAAAUCAAGCCGGUGUGCAUCCUUUCGCGUAUAAUCGCCCGUGAGACACCCUUUCUCGGACGUGACCCACUGUUCGAGAAAAAUUGCGCGAUCGCCACCGGCCUUCGGAUCAUCCUAAACAACAAUGAGAACUUGCUGUCGAAACAGGAGUAAAGGGAUACUUUGAUUCUUUGAUUCAAAGAAAUAAAAAUUGUAUGUAUAUCGAAAGACUUCCAUAGAUUUUUCUCUGAUUUAUAAUUAAUUAUACGUGAAGGAUAAGACACCUAAGGCUAGAAACAAGGAACAGUGAUCCAAGGCUGAAGGUUUUCCAUCGGAUCAUUAAACAUUGACCAGUGACGAGCAAAGAAGAAGCAAUCUCCCCGAGGAGAAUCUAUUAUCCCAUUUUUUUCACUUACGUCCUCUUUCCAGCCGGUGAAAAAGCAACCGCACCCUUCGACCUAACGCAAAGCUCACCCUCUAACGAAGUCUCCGUUGGUAUAUCGAUGCUCCGAGAGUAGAUAGAGGAAAGACUGUAAAAUUCAGGAAGGAACAUUAGGGAAAAGGGGUGGUAUCAUCGGUUCGUUGAUCACCCCUUGGGUGCUGGUUUGAAUUAGGGCCGGGGCAGCGGGGUGAGCCGUGUUUAUUGACACAGGAAGUGAUUGCUGCGCCUAUGGAUCGAGGGAGACCGGUUCACGGAAGACACUGAUCGCGCUGCGCUAGAGGAGAGGGGCGGAGGGUGAGAAAGGGAGGAGCCGGUCCCUUCGGUUGACGUAUUUGCACCGUAAUCCCAUGAUAAAUCGUUGCAAGGGCCCUGGGAUAAGCUCUAUUAAUUUUGCGUUAUAAAGUCGAGUGGCCGCGUUCACCUGCGUCGAACUUACGUUAUGGAGACGUAAAAGAUUUUUAAAAGGCUAACGUAUUUACUAGCAAUUCCCCCUCGGAUGUACCCGUGUUUCCACGUUUACGGUGCUGUUAAAAUUUAACCCUCUCGUAACAUUACCGAGUUUUAUUUCUGGCUGUAUUUUUCACGUUACGGUUUGCCUCGAGUGGAUCCACAGAAUUAUUUGAUACAUUCGAUAAGGGUAGGAAAUAAAUUUUUCAAUUUUCUUUAGAAUUAUUUUUGAAUUCUGAAAUGAAGUCCAAUCAAAUAAAAAGAAAGAUUCUCUGAACCCGUUCCACAGAAGACGUCCCUAUCAACGAUCAGCCCUGGUGCGAAUGACAAAUGCCCUUAGAACCGCAAACGUCUUCUUCCCAUCAAUCUGACGGUUGAACGUUUCGCGUAGAGCGUUCUUAUCUCGUCCAGGCUUGAUAAAUUAAUCGACAUUAAGGGACAUAACGCCAGCAACGUCAGCUAGAUUCGAAUCGAGCCGAUUGCUUGGACCCCGAAUCUUCUCUGGACCCAAGUUUCUUUCACGAUAGCUCAUCUAGGUGCGGUGAGAUCAUCAAUAACCUAUCUACCGGAAUAUCUAGGCGUACCAGGAAUCACUCCAGAGUUCCUGGAUCAUUUUUAUUUAUAUAAGACCUAGAUUCCCAAGCUGGCUUCUGACCCCCAAGGGAGGUCCUCGGGAAUAUUUUUCACCGCAAUUAACACACCUCGAAUAUUUCAAUUGUUUUUCAUACACAAUAAAGACGAAACCCCGUAUGUAGGCUCUCGAACCGACGCGACAGGUACAUAAAGAUAUACAAGUGCAGACGUUGCUCGCCGCAAUUCGGUCGAUCCUCGACGUGUAAUCACGUAUGCAAAUGGGGCCACAGGGAGGUUGUGUGCGUGCCUGCCGGGACGGGACGGGACGUUGGAGUAAAUGCGUAACUGUCGAUAUCGCGGCCGUUUCGCACGCUGACAGGACAAUGUGCACGCGCGACCGCCCGCGAGCUGGUAAUUUGUACCGUAAGCGGGGGAAACGUCCGGUUAUGCUCGCAGCUAUCAACCGUGGCUGUUACGAGCAGCGAUAAGUGUAUUUUCGUUUCUACUUCCUAAAUUACUAGCUAAUAUUUAUCACUGUAAUUUUCGAAAAAUGUCUGACGCAAAUGAAAGUUGAACAAUUUCGAAGUACACAGAUAAUUUCUUAUUUGUUCAAAAGUUUCUCCUCGAACCUUGAGCUUCGCACGGUGGUAAACGCGUUGAAUCGAAUUCUCUAGAUAGGAAGAGGGGUAGUUCUAACCGUGGAUCUGUCUCGCAGACAUAAAUCAACAACUGCUAACCUCGUCCUGGGAGAGAACUGUUACGUUUCCACGGACAGAUAGAGCCGACGCUUUAUUAUACCGGACACAAUUGCGUGUUGCUCGAGCGCCACGUGACCGGCGACUUCCGGCCGUAGUUUGGGUUCCGCUCGCUGACGCUUCCUCCCGAUUCCCCUUCGAUCGGUUUUUCCUUCUACGCAACGGGUGACGAUGAUCGCGUGUCAGGUCCACGAUGAUGCUGAAUGCCCGACACGCGUACCUCUUCCUGCCCGCGUCUCUCGUCGUCGCGCGGAUUGUCACAACACGAAUCGGGGUGGCAGAGGAUUUCAGACAGGGUGAGAAGCAAAAAUGUAUUUUCAAAGAAUGCAAAGCAAAAUUCGAUGGUAGAAGAUAUGGAAAAUUGAUUUUUUGCAAUUGCUGUUUAAAGGGAUUUUUGGGGGAAAAUUUAUAAAAUUUCCUAAAAAGGGUUGUUAAUCAGAAUGUCUAAAAGGAAAAAAAUUCAGCCAGGCUCAAUGAAUUCAGGAAAAAAGGAGAUCUAGAUAGCCCGCAGGGGAGAAAAUCAGUGUAAUAGAGAGAUCAGGGGGGAGAGUGGUGUGUCGAACCGAUCGGUCAUGGUGUUCUUAUGUUAAUACCGCGACGGUUCUGCUUUGCUUUUCUAUUCGAGCAUCCCUGUACCCGCACCAGCGUGGCGAAUCCUCGAGUUUAUCGCGGGGGUGUGUAGCCACUGUAACCACUAAAACCAUCGUCCGACUCGGGGUAGAUGGUGGCGAGGGGAAUAGAGCCUAGGACGUCAGUGAAAUUUAGUGUUACGUUGUGGGAAUGAGAAAAUCGAUAGAACAGAGAUCAGACCUUGGUUAAACGCGUCGGAAUCGAACAAACAGAUAUAAAAGAAAAUUUUAAUGAUUCCUUGGAUGAAAAUUUUGUAAUUAAUAACACAGAAAAUCAUCAUCAAAAAUAAGAAGACACAAAAUAAAAUUAUAAAGAAUUUAUAUUCUAUAAAGUUUCUAACUAUCAAAGGGUGUCACUUGGCUUUUCUAAAAUCGAAGAUAGAAAAUUCUUAGAUUGAACGGAUGAAUAACCUAGUAAUUACUAGCGGCAACACGUUCCCGCGCACUGAUAGAAGCAGCGGUGCACCGAAUUCAACGCCUCAUCCAUCAGCAACGGUCAGCCAUUAACCCCAGUAGGGCUCGCCUAACAGGACCCUGUCGGUCGAGCAGCUCGAAUUAUUAAUCGCGUUUCAAGUCCGAAUCAAUCAAGCAACCGACGCGCGAGAGGUUCGAUAACAGCGGCGAAGACCACCCUCAAAGACCGAACCGAAAGGAUAGAUCCACGCCGUUGAAGCCGGUAGUUUCCGCGAUUGUGAGAAACCAUCUUAACCUGUGAGCCUAACAGCGAGAGAGAGAAAGAGAGGAGUGUAGAAUUUCUCUCUUUUCGACCUGGGCAGAAGGGAGAAGGCUGUUAUAUCCCGCGGUGGUUGACUCCGGCACGGUGGUCCAGGUCAACAAUUCAUAAUCGUGGCUGCGACCGAGUAACGAGGAAAGGUUCAGCGCCUUAUCCGAGGUUCUUGCAUACAAGGUGGCUUUCUUCGUUCAUCUCGCCGCUUCUUCUUAUUCUUCGUCCCCUGAUAAGAUUGGCAGGUAUGGUUUCGAAGACGCUUUUCAAGAAAACUGAAGUUGUGUCAUAGACGAUAAUAAAUUAGCUUCGAUUGCUGGUACUAAAGCUUUCACCCUGAAGAAAAUACACGAUUUACAAAGUGACACAUUUUAACCUACCCGUGCAAUUAUUUGAUAUUUUCAUUCAAAGAGCUCAUUUUCUUUCAAGGAGAAUAUGUUCUUGGUGUAGGAAGGAAAGUUCGAAAGUUCUUCAAGGUUAUCUCAGGUAUCGAACCGGUGAAUAAAAAGGAAAGAGUCACCCUGUACAGACGGAAAAGGAGGAACCGGAGUGAAGGGGUGUGGGGUCAUGAGCGAGAACAAGAGCAAGAACAAGAGAAGCAGGUAGGUCGUAACGUGGCGCACGGAGCGUCUGGGGCCCACGCUCUGCCGCGCCACGACAAGGUGGUCCCGGGGCUCCAAUGGGGCCCGACUCGCGAACCUGGGGCCCCGCACGAAUGCCCUCGAUUUAUGAAGCACGAAUUAAAUACUAUGAUCCUAGUCGCCCGCUGCUGUCCGUGCUACGGACCCCUGGUCACCAUCAACUCCAUAGAAAUUGAAUUCCAUCGAGGACAUCCUGGCUACCGAUCAGGAACCAUUGAUUGAUAGAAUCGGGACAACUAAAGGCGAGUUUCAAACGGGCCUUUUAUGUAUCACAACCUAUUCCUUGGCGAUUUUUAACCGACUAAUUGGUGGUGCUUUUAAUUAUAAGAACUGGUUCGACCGGGUCCAAUUAUCUAUGGAUUUUCUAAUGAAAUUCUUAUCAUUUCUUAGUGAAAGCCUUUGGGAUCGAAGAUAUAAUGUUUUAUAUAAAGAAAAUUUUACUAAGGAACCCAGCUGGUCAAUCUGCACCUCGACCAGUGAUCCUCUAACAAUAGGAGCAAUCAAUUAACAGGAACUGGAGAGGAUCAGCUGUGCCAGGUCCGUGGAAUGAUGUGGCAGCAGGAGAAACGAGCCGAGGCUGGUUCAUUACACAUGCACGCUCCUAAAACCAAUUCUAGCUGUGGUCCGGUGCGCGAGGGCUAACGAGACGUCUAUAUUAUUAUGCCGUCGGAAGAGCGGCGCGACGUGGGUCCCAAAACGGGCAGGCUUGCGUCGGAUAUUAGCCGCGGGGCCCCCUCUCGUGAGGAUAGAGAGACGAGGAGAACCAUUCGGAGCCGGGGACCACCGUGAAAGAAGGGAGUACUCUCUGGACCAGCAGCUCCUCCUCGCUUCUUUCUCUCUUCCUUUCUCCAUCUUUUUUUUCCCUCACUCCGCCUCGACGUCCGCUCGAACAGUUCCAAGCGGACGCGAGUUUCCUCGGCUUUACAGCCUGCUGCCUGCUAAUAACCGCGAACACGUAAUUUCCUACAGCGCCUGCCGUACGCAUUAUCCUCCACUCUUUUUGCUGCCUUUCUAACCAACCGGAAUUUAUCGCGAGCAAACGUCAGUUCGAUCACCACCCCGACGAUCCUCGGACACCACCUUGGAAAAUCACCGAUUUCGAACGAACCGCGAGGAAAAGAGUUCCAAGAAUUUCAUUCUGAUCAUCUAUUAUAAAUAUUUAGACGAAAGGUAUCAAGUUCAGAGGAUGAUCAACAUCGUUCUACUGUUUUAGACACGCCUGUCGAUACAUGGUUGCAUGCAGCGAAUCAGAUGCACAAUGUAGAUCGAGAUUCUGCCAGGAGGGAACAGGUUUGAUACAACGAGCCUGCCCAAGUCGACGAUUGCACCUGCUUGGCAGGUGUUCCCGAGCUGUUCGCGACGAUUAUUAACCGUCUAAUCAUGGUUCUAAUCGUUAGACUUGUUCAACGGGAGCCUUUCCUCUUCCUUCGUACAACGUGCCAAUCAAUUCAAUUGUUAGACGAUAGAAUUUCUAUCGGUAUAACAUGGUUGAUCCUCUGAUCUUCCACCAUCUUGGUGAGAAAUUGGGACCUCCAUGAAGAAGUUUGAUAGCACGUUGUUCAGGAGAGAAAGAAAUGGCCAAUGGACAAGGUGGUCGGGCAUAAAUUUACGCCAAGGGUCGAGGAGGAUCAGACGGGCAGAAAAUUCGACGAGCAUCAUCCUUGGAAACGCUGAUGAACGCGGAUGGCGCUGGGCAAAAAGCGGCAAAGAAGUUUAUGUCCCCCGUGGAGGGACGUGUCGGCGUGACUCUCUUCUGGUGGGUAAUUAAAAGACGCAAUUGUCACGUUAAGGAAUUAAUGUCCGCCGCGGUGGCGAGGACGUAUUUAUUAGCCGGGUCCGCGAAUCGACGCCGCAUAGGGGGCGCUGCACGAUUCGAAAUGGAAUUCCUUCGUUCGACUGGUCCCCGGGUCAACUGAGACCCUUUCGACAGUCGACAAUGGCUCGUGUGUGUGUGUGUACGUGCGUGCCGGUUGUCUUAUGUUUUAAUUGUUCUCCGCCGCCGCGUAAAUCCUAAUUAAGACUGAAUUAUUUGGCCCGCGUAGCGACGUAAGAAACCGCCGAUUCGAUCGCGAGAAUUCCGCUUCCAAGGACGAUCCGUUCGAUCGGACCUGGUCGCAGGGUGCUGCCUCGAGGACCCCCCUGCACGUCCUCGCCAUUGCUGCUUCGUGUUCGACGUCCUUUUUGCCUUCGGCUCCGACGCGAUCCGCUUUGUCGCGGACCGACCGCUGGGAAUCGCCCGGCACCCAAGUGUCGAUUUUCUUCGAACCGCAGGGAAAAUAAAAUAUCAAUCAUUGUUGCAGUUUCUUUUUAAAUACAAUGGUCGAAGCGAAUAAGACGCUGAAAAGACAACUAUUUUUUAAAUUUUCGUGAUUUAGUUCACCCUGUAAUAUAAUUUCUCAGGGGUUUCCCAUAAAUAUAAGGGACACGGGAAUGCGAGGGAAGAGAGCAGAAGUAUCCAGGGACAAAACCGAAAAAAGGAGAAGUCCAUUUGACAAAUUAGUACUAGCCAGCUUCAGGUAAUUUCCUGGGAACUUUUAGUGCUCGUUCUUCUUUCUAAACCGCCCUUCUCAAUUUCCUGGCUCGCGUAUGCAGCCGAGUCGCCAGUAUCUUCUGCAAAUGUGCUUUGGAAUUCCUUGCUCGUUGCAUCUCCUCGCGACGGAAUUCUCGUCCGCAGACGGGCAUUAAAUGGUCGCGCGUGUGCGCAGCGUGAAAUUUCACCCUCUCGCUGCGCCUGGAAAAUUCUCCGCUCACCUACCCCCCGUACGUUCUCUCGCUGAAGAAUGAUGGAUCACGUUGUGGCGUGCAAGAAACCUCGUGCAACGUAACAGGGAAAUUUUGUUGCAGGAAGCGAAGACUCUUUUUGUACUUCCUUUACUCGAGGCAAAUGACGAGGAAGGUUUAUUGAAGGGUGCAUGCAACGUUCAAGAGUUUCCAGGUUAUACGGCUCUUUUGUUCGAAGAAAACGUAGCUCGAUGAUCGUUUCUCUCUUGGAAAAUUUAAUUUUUCACAGAGAAUACUGCGCGAUAAAUUAAACUGAACUAAAACUUGGAUAUUCUUUUUCUGAAACUUAGGUAGGAAUUUAUAGGACACUUUUUUGAACAUAAUGGAAGCCAAUCGAACGGUUCGAUAAUUGGAACAUCGGUUGUUCGAUGAUGCAGAGCGGAAGGCUCGGCCCAGGAUCAGGAUGACUCUGCAUUAUCGCUGAUUCCGGAGCAAGCCACGGGAUUUUCAUGUCCGGGCUGGGAAGCCAGCGUCGCCAUCAGCAUCGCAGAGAACCCACGGCUCGACUUAGCAUAGAUUAAAGUUGCGCACACACCGGCAAUCUUGCGGAUGUUUGCGAACCAACAGGGGUGGAUGGGACCAGGACACGGUUUAGAUAAAAAUCGGGACGAUAGAUCCUCCACCUUUACGAGCAUCAAGUUCGAUGAAGUUGAAUCUUCAGAGGUGCAAACAGCGAGGAACGUCGGUUAACGAGCGGCAAUAACCACAGGAUUGCGGCCAGGUGUUACGCCAACGCGUCGGUCCAGGCCACUUCCUCGGAAAGAUCCUGGCUAAUUGCGGCAUCACUCAUAUCCUUUUUGCCUCGCAGGACGCUUAUCACCACGCCAGCUUCCUUUCCAGCCUGAAGCUGCUUCCAUUUCGUUGGAGUGAAUUCUGAAGAAAUGGCAAGUUUCCUUAAGGGCUGCUACGUGGAAGAAGCUUCCAUGGUGCCCCAUGGAAAUUACGCGGUGCUGCUUGACCGUAACUGCGGCCGAUCCAACGGCCUUCGUCGUUGCCCAGCACACUGACCAAUUUCACUGGAACCACUAUGAUCGGUGGUGCACCGGACCAUGUCGAAUAGUCGCUUCUUUUGCCACGCGGAUGUCGUGGAAAUAAGUAUACGUGGCCGAUCCGACGAGGAGGUUCGUUACCGGUUAGCCACCAUGAAAUUCCAACUGUACGAUUCCUAAUGAACGCCCUUACUGCUUCUUUCCUGUCGUCUAAUUCGUUCCUCGCGUUUCCGUCCCGGUCAUUCAUCGACCCCCGUGCGAACAACUUUAACAGUAUUCUAUAUUUUCAGUCGAAUUACUUUCCAUAGGAAAAAAAAAACAGGGGGAGCCUUUCGUAUUCGAAUUCGCUUUCCUUCGAAUAGGGUCCAGUUUUUCCUCGACAGUUUUCCAUACGAGGAGCCACCCCUUCCGGUCGAGGAGCCAUCGAUCACUGACAAGACCCAGCCACGAUCUCCUUUCGCUGUUUUCUUCCUACGGGGGAGAGAAAAAAUCGCUGGCCGGUCCAAGGUACGAAAGAAAGGAGGAUGAAUGAGGAACAGCUCGGAGCAUGCCAAAACGCACGAGCUUCAGCGACCCGUGAAACUCUCGUAAAUUGUCGAUUCAUUAGCGGACCAUGGGAGGGAAAAAAGGCUGCUCUUCUCGGCGUUCGCUUUUUUCGCCGCUCCACCCCCUUGAAUAUCGAAUUAAACAAGCCGUGGCCAGCUUCUACUUAUGGCGUUCGCAUUAACUCUGUCGUAUUUCUUCGUUCGUUGCCCUUCUUACGACUCCUACGUACAAUUCCGUGACUCUUCCGAAAUUACUGCUUUAUGGUUUCUUCAUUACGGUUCGAAUCAGGUAUAAAUUGCUGUGAGAUUAACCCGGGUUGGUUCUGAUUAAACCAAUUUAACGGAUGAAAUUUUUGCUAAGGUUCAACCUGUUAUGUUUUAUUCGACCAGGAUUUAAACAGCAGUUAGUUACCCUGCAAUUUAUACUUUUAAUAAUGGAAACGAAAUGAAGAAAUCGCGCGUUCCGUUUGACUUCUUCAUCGAUCACCGAGGAGACAAACAUGCCGCCGGUCAUGAAAACGCGUUCAAAACGGCACAAUACGGCCGUUAACGCCACCAGGGUGGUUAUUGUCGAUCGCCGGUACAAGGCAACGAUAAUGGCCUAUUUUGACAGCGAGACGGCCGGAAUCGUCAAAACAGUAGUACGCCUUCAUUGUUGCCCGACGCAGAAAGGCCGAGUAUGCGGGGGUGGCGAGGAAAAAUAAAUCAUGCCUGACCGACUGACGGCCGGUGGCACGCAAUCAUCCCCCUGCAAGCGUGUCGGCCAACAAUGACCAUUGUCCAGACGAAUACGCGGCCACUCGAAAUGAUCUCCGGUCACAAGUCAUUACCUUUUCAUUUUAAAACCACCCCCUCGGAUACCAGCAGCCGCUGUUCACCCGCUGAGCGCUAGAAUUUGGGGGGUGAGUUUUGAGAUAAUGCAACUGGACAUCGUUCGAUACGCGUUGUUCGGGAACAUUGUAAAUCUGAGAAAAAUUUGAAUUUUCUCGUCGUCCAAUUAACGCGACCCCCCGUCGUAAAUUUCGAAACGUAAAUCUCACGCCGAAAUCGCUUAAUUUCCAUUCUGGAAGGACACCUAAGAAGGUAUCCAGGAUUUCUCGCGAGGAUCGUUAAAUGGAGGACAUGGAAAGAGUAUCAUCGGGAGGGAAGAUGUUCGGUCGGAUGAUUUAUGAACGGCGGGGGGUCGAAAUAAGGGGCGAGGAUGAGAAUCCCUGACGUAGCAGAGACAAAAGGACCCCCCGAUACCAAGUUAGGACGGACUGUCUGUCGUCGGGCUGUCAGUGACCGUCUGCACGGUGCUUUCGUAUAAUCCACGAGCGAGCAACGGCUCGGUUAUAGAGACCAGGCUCCCUCCGAGACGGAGGCGCCAUCUUAGUCUGCAUUCCAUUGUUUUAGAUGAUUCAUACGCGGCUCCGGCCCCGGAGGACCUCCUAAUUUAUUAGUUUGAAUAUCGAGCAGAGGAGCCACGGGGCCCGCGACGAGGAGAAAGAGGACGGACCAGACCUUUGGGCCAAAGAAUGGCGAAGGGCGAGAGGAACCGACUAGCUGGGUGGCCGGGGACCGUCUCUUGUUUAUACUCCCCUCCCCCGCCCCCUUUACCCUUCCUCAUCUUCUCAUUCUUUCUUUCCACAUCGUUCCGCUUCUUCUUUUCCAUCUUCCUUCGAAACUGCUCCUUCGCCGAGCGGUUUUCGACCAAACUACCCCCCUCCCCCUCUUCGUCCUUUUACUUUUGCUACUCUGAUGAAGAAGCUAUGGAAGAUUUAGAGAAACGAAAGGAUAUAUUUGAACUUGGAUUUUUCAAAGAAAAUUUUCCACGCAAAUGAUCCUAAUUAUGUAAUUAAUCAAUGGUUAUUUGUUAAUUUGUAGCUUCUAAGAAGGGAAUCAUCGUUAUGCUAAUACCACUCUAAUAAUACACCAUGUUUUCCCUUCGAUCGGCUCCGUUCUCGGUAGUCGGCUGCUUUUUCCCGAGGAUUUGAAUGUUAGACAGUCGAAUCACGUACGGCAGGUGUGCCACGGAUCCAUGGAAUAGCAUUUUGUUCCAUGAAUUUCGCGGGGGAAUCGCGUGGACAGCCGAGUAAAUCGAAAGGAACACCGGGGAAGAGAAUUUACAUAGCGCGACGAAAAGCAUUCCGAGGAUACUUUCUCUUCUGAACUAUUAAAAAGUGUCCUGAAGAAAAUUACUUUCCACUUUUCAAACGAUACGAGACAUUGAAUCGUGCCACGUAUCAUGAAUUUUACGAAAGGUCGACAGAGAAACGACCGGUACUUUUGGGACCAGCUGGAAAAAACUUGGUUCUCCGGUCUUGACUCGCUACCAUUGACCAACUGCCUUCAUUGUCGCUGAAUUAGCCCCGUCGUUCUCUCUUCUACUUUAGCCUGAAGGUUUACGCAGCCGUUUACGAGCCACGGUCCCCAUUACCCUCCGCCAUCAGGCCCCAUUCAAGUUUCGCUUCUGCCACUAUUGCCCGACCGUGGCGGCGGUGUAUCGUGGGCCUAGUUUUCAUUCAUCUCCAGUCCGCUGAUGGCCCCGUUGACCUCGACCAGGACCCGAGAUGAAUAUUACGUCGGUCGUGCCGCUCGUAAUACGCCCUCUCCGUUGCCUCCCUUCUUCUUCUUCCUUUUAACCCUUCUCCCUCUAUCGUUCCUCUUAUACCACGAUCGUCCUCCUUCUUUCACGUUCGCUGCUUCACGACCAGCCAGCCACCUUGCUCUGCUCUUUCUUUCUUUUUUUUUUUUUAUUAUUUUUAUUUUUUCUUGUUCUUUUACUAGGCGCGAUCCGGCUGAAACGUUCCCAUAAGAUGAGUAUCUGGAUACGUGCCGCGGGGCCAAAUCGUUUGACGGAAACCGCGCUCCUCAGCCUUUACCCUCUUCUGCUAGUUGGCUUGUAUUUUUGAUGCGACUAUGUGAAAUUUGGAUAAAUUUUAUUUUUCCCUUUUGGACCUUUUAAUUGGAGGCGUUUUAAAUUUAAAGAGGAAGGUUUACAAAAUUAUUUUGACAAUGUUAUAAGGGAAAUAAAGGGUUUGUUUGGGAGAAUUUAAUUAGAUUUAUUAGAAUUUUUGAAGAAACGGCUCUAAAUGAGUAGAAAAUUUUUGAAGCGAGAAUUGAACUCGUUUGAAAUUCUCGUGGCCGAGAAAGCGUCGCUCGCGAGCAGAAAUGAAAUUGUGGAGACGUAAAAUGAUACGGCGGUGACUCAGGACACGCGAAACCGCUGAAUGGAGCACGUCGGCCUCCAAAGUGUGGGAAUCCUUCUUUUUCCUAGCGUAUUUCAACGCGGUGUGCUCUGAAUUCAAAUAGACGGGAGGAUACGCGGCGUCUCGGCUUCCUUCGGCUGCAAAAACUUCUCGUAUCGCGAAACACGUACGAACGUCGCGUCGUCCUUUCUCGUCCGGAAAGAAGGUGCGCGAAACGAAAGAAUUUUAUAAUUCCUCCUUCAAUAACAGCGGUUCUUCACCUUUACCUCCGAAACUUUAUUUCGUUUCUUUCUCGGAAUUAAUUCCAAUACGAAAUCCUUGAUUUGGAGGUAAAAUUCGAAUUAAUUGUUUCUUAAUUUAAAAACAACAGUUCAGAACAUUUUCCUCCAACCUUCUCUGGUAGUAUUAUGUAAAUUUCCUCACUAACACUUUUACUUCAUCCUCCAUACAUCCCGGGGGGAAGAAAGAAGGAAAAGAAACUAGCUCUACUUGUAGUCUGAAACAUCCCCUAGAUGAAAGGGUGCCGAUCGCGUGCUAAUUAAAGGAGAAUAAAAAAGAACUAUCGGCGGCAAGAGUUUCGCUUGGCCAUGUCAAAAUACACAAAGAAAAAAAAAAAGGGGUUGCGAGAGGAGGAUUACACUCCGGACAAGGGUGGGCUCCGCGAGAAAAGGGGCGGACGGGGGUCACGAGGAGGGCAGAAAGGGAGAACAACCCCCUUCGUUAGGAGACGAGGCGAGUCCUGAGAGGUACGGCAAAGAGUGAUGCACUCGACGAGGCUUGCAUCCCCUAAGUCACGAUGAAAAAAACAUGGCCGACAACUCGAAAGGUCUGCCAUCGAAUUCAUUAUCGACUCUCCGCCCCCCGGAGGCGAUCAGCUUCCUUCCGCUAACAGACAUCCGUCACUGAAAUUUCUUCUUCAUUUUGCUUUUUUUAUUUCGUUCCUUCACGAUUUUAAUUGCAAAUUGAAAAAUUUCACAACGAAACCAUUUGCGUUGCAAAAUAAGGGUAUUUGUUAUUUGUUUGUCUGUUCGAAAGAGGAACAGGAGAGGAUUUCUCGGUAGAAUGAUUGAUUGGGAUAAGAUAUUCGUUUUGCGAUGCUCAUUUGGUGAGAAGUAGGGUAUUACAUGUUGUUUUUUUCAUGAACUUUCAUAGUGGGACUGGAAAUAAACAUAAUUUAAAAAAUGUGGAUCAGAAGAGUUUCGGGAGAAGAAAGAAUUGGUGUUGAAAGAUGAUGAAAAAUUUUAACUAUUGUUGAAUUCCGAAGAAUUUCCACUAUAAAGGUAAAUAAAACAGCAACGGAGAAGGAUCGAACAUCAUUAGGCCAUUAUUUCUCUCGCGUUGAUUGAACGGUCUCCACUUCUUGGUUACAUUUUCCUAAUAAGUAACAGCUAUAAAUCGAUCGAAUUACUUUUGCCCAUUUCCAAUGAUUCAUAAUACUUCUUUCGAGACCUCCUGCGAAUCAGACCGUGGAAACGUGCAAUGAAUCUUCGCCUUCGGAGUGGUCUCCUCUGGCGAAGGGGCUGGUCGUGUCUUUUGCGCUUAAUUCCAGCUACCUUUCUGGCAGAUGCGGUCGUUUAUGGUCACUCGGGUCCAAGUAUUACCAAUUAUCGUGAUACGAGCUGGUUCGAUACCCAGGAACACGAUAAAUCAACCCAAAGGACUUCCAUUUUCCACCCUGAUUUAUGCCUUCAUCGCAGAGACACGAGGAUAGAUUCAAAUUUUCCUGUCAUUUAAACUAAAUCAACAAGAAACAAAAUUAUUAUUAAAGAAUUAUAUAAUUCUUAUUAAAGGAUUAUACCGAAGCAAUUAAUGAAAAUUCAAUGAGAAUAAUGAAUUGAUCAUUUCCCUAUCAAAACGUAGCCUGGAAACGUGGAAGGACUCUAGCAAAGGGUUGCGUCUUUGCGUUCUCGUAAUUCCCUGUGGUCGAUCGACCCGUACUCGUUUACGACCCAUGUUCACUGGUCAAGUAUUGCCAAUUAGUCAAGUCGGCCCAUCGAAGACGCUUCUGACCAUGGUCUUUGCGAGCUGGCUCGCAUGAAUAGCCUGGUACCAUUCAUGGAAUGCCAUAGCAAGUGCAUCGAGAUUGAUGUGUACUGCAAACAAGAAGCAGAAUUCGAUGAAAAUUUGUUCGAUCCUAGAAAUCUUUCAUCAAAUUCCUUUUGAUAAAAAGAAAAAUAACUGAUUAUAAAACAAUCAUGAUUCUAUAUAUACAGACAGAUGUGUAUAUUUAUGUAUAGACGUGAAAUAUCGCCAAAGGGUAGAGUAAAAUCCCCAGAAGCUCGGAGCGGAAGCGAUAAAAGGACGAAACAAGCUAGCAAACAUCGAGAACACGGUCUUGUCCGGCGAGUCACGAAGCCGUCUCACCACGUACAACAUACAAGGUUGGAAAUCCCUUCAUCGGCGAUCCUUCGCCCGUCUCUGUCCCAGGUUUCGCAAUCAAGCAGCGUAGGCCGGUCAGUUUGUUCUAAUCAGUGCUGACCGCGAGCUGGCUAACUCAAUCAGCUAACGAAGCUAAUUUUGCACGGUGGAACCGGCCAAUCGUUGCUCGACCGGGUGCCCGGUUCACCUAUCAACAACGAUCCCGGGCCACAGCAAACACCUAAUCCACCGUCGUUCCCAUGGGAGGAACUGGUACGAAUCGGUAGCACGAUCACGUGGACCGAAGACGAAAGAAUAUGCCGCUGGUAAACUAUCCACGAUUCUACUGAUUCGAACAAAUAUGUACAGGGAUACGUGAACGAGUGUGAUUCUGACCUCUGGUUACUCGCUUUUCUCCAGUUUCGACAAUUGUUCAGAGGAUUUCAACCAUUUCAUCAGAAUCGUUUCUACAGUCUCGAAAUGAUCAAUUCCUUAAUGAUAAUCACAGAUCAUCUCAAUUAUGUAAUAUCUUCAUGGAAGAUAAAAAGAUAUAAAAAUAAACGACGACAGCAUCAGCAAUGGCACGAUUGGGCCGAUUUGCAUGCGUGGCAAACGAGCGCGGGCCUGGUCCUGCAUAAAUCCAAAUUUGAGUACACAGGGAGGGGGGGGACAAGUCCUGCCGGUCGGCGGCGUCCUUUCAUGUUGGAUCAUACUUCUGUUUGUCCCUCGAGGCUCCUGUUGUUCGCGUCCUUUCGGACUUCGCGAGAGACCAGCAACGACCCGGACGCGAAAAAGACGCGAGGACAGGAGGGGGUACCGGGGGCAAACGAGCGACGGGAACCCGGGGUUAAACAGAGAGAGAGAGAGAGAGAGAAAAAGAAACGAGUAAAAGGAGCCGUAUUGUCCUGACAGGAUCCGCAAGAAUCGCCGACCGACCGCCGGAUGUGCGGUCCCGGUACAAACGCGAAAUCGUCUCUAUGGGGCCAUUCGAGCGGCCCUUUUCUUCGCCCGCAACCCCCUUCGAUCGGACCACACCACCCCGUCGAUCAUCCUUCAUGAAUAGUUAUGAUAUCGUUCUUGGUGAAACGACGCGAUCCUAUCGGCACCAGGACCACACAUGAUGACCGUGCGUUGAUUGCUGUGUACGGUUGUUGUAAUUAGUCGGACGAGACGAGCUCCUCCGGUAGCGUUUUGCUGAUCGAGUUCGUAUCGGAAGCCUUUUUGCUGGCCGGGAUACGUCUUGCACGUGAUUGACUUUUUGUUUGCAUAGGGUGCAAGAAAAGUCUCGAGUGCACUUAAUGAAGAUGAUAGAAUCAUUUGACUACAGGCAGGGAAAUUAUAAUAGAUCAUCUAAUCUAUUAGUGCAGAUCAUUGGAUUAAAUAGAUAGAGGGUAGUUUUAAUUUUCUAAAAAUUGCAGAACAUCCAUUAAUAAAAAAAAAUUAUUAGAUGAAUUAAGGAAUGACAAUUUUAUUAUAAUUAAGCUGCGAUAGAUAUUUAAUAGUUUUGGUAAAAUUAAUGAAGCUGAUUUUAAAUAUGCAGAAAACGACCUCUUAAUUUGUCCAAAGACUUUCACUAACCCGACAAUUUCUCACGCGGCUUCUACUUGGGACCGGGUAUCGACUUUUUCGAUCGGCUUUCCAAUUUCGUGCAAAAUUCCAACGUUUCGCAGGUGCACGCGGCGGCGAUGUAAGAAACCCGCAAUUCCCGAUGCUGUCCGUCGGUUUUUCUUCGCUCGUUCGUUCCUGAUCCGUCGUGCCAUAAAUCAGCCUCGUUUUCGUGAUACGUACGUGCGCGCCCCGUGAGAAACUAGAGCAGAACAGAACCGACCGGUGUAAGUAUCUCGAUUUCUGUGCCUUACCGCACUCUACACCUGUGUAAUUCAAAUUAGCCGAUCAAUUCAAAAACUUCCAAUUUUAAUCCAAACUGUAAUAUCUAUUAAUUUAAAAUAUCGGGAUAUCGGUAUGGAAAUUUCAUGAAAUUCUGUUAUUUCAUGAAAAUUCUACAACUCGUCGGGUAUUCAAGCAACGUCAGCAGGAUCGUUCACGAUCGGUAUCGACGUCAACGAUCGCAUUAGAGUAGAAGGUAGAACACGGUACAUCGUGUCAGUUUCAUCAUCGUGGUUCGUUGGUCCGCGUUGAAAUGACGGUCACGAUCGUGCGAUAUCCAGCAUCGAGCUGGUUCUCGUCACCUGGUUCCUCGUUCGACGAUCGGUUCCUCCCCCGUAUUCUCUUCGCUCUGGGUCUCUCGGCCGCGUCUGGUAUUCCCAUGGCGAUCCUCAGCCGCGACCUUUCACCGAAUUUCGCCGUGUAAAGCCGAAAACGAGCGCGUUUAAUAGCGGUCCGUGAACGCACGUACCCGCCGGCGCAGGAUCAAAAGGAUCACGUCGCUCCUACGCACGUCGCAUCGUCCGGCUGCGGCAAGCUGAUUCGUGAUGGGCAUGGGACCGAUUGCAUUAUGCCCACCGGUUGCCUUCCCUCGGACAAACACGAUGACCGACGUAUUUCGAUGCCCAUCGCCUCGCCAAGAAAGAUGAUCCUGGACGCGAGUAUUUUUCAGGACUCUUGUUUCCUUGGGAACUAUUUUAAAUGAAGACGAGUGAGAAAUCUGAAAUUGAUGAAAGUAAAUAUUCUCUUAAAACGCCAACAGACUUCUAUCAAAUUCGAUGGCACAUCCCUCGAAGGUUUCUGAUUAAAUAAAGUCAACAGCUAUUGUAAGGCUGUCCACGUUCGACGUUGCACCCCAGGACACGAGUUCCCUCGAGGUGGAACUGUCCAAGCAACUUUCCGUGCGCCAGCCACGGCUGCGAUUAGCGUUAAUAUCGAAAAUGGGCCGUCGAACGAAGCCUCGAAGGACGAGGGAGGAUCCGAAGGGACGGAAACCAAUCAAGGAUAUACGUCCGUCGUGCAGGCAAGGGUCCUGCUGCCGUGACCGCUAAGAGAUUACUUACUUGACCUAAUACCUCUACCGAUCGGUUGCAUCGCGAGACCUCGACCGGUUACACAACCACCACUAAUCUAUUCUCCCAUCGAUCCCCGGGGCGGAAAGACUCUAAACUCCCUGACGACACCUUCGCCAGGUCCUGAAAAGAAAUAGACGCUCUUUUAACGAUCGUGUAGAUCUUUUUUUAAAGGGAUUGACAGAUGGGACGCUCUGUCACCGAAUAAUCUACGGUUAUUUUUGUCAAAGAAUUAAAGAAACUUUUGAUAAGAGGUUGGCAAAAGCAUCGAGCAAGCCGCGCGACAUAGAUCAUCGUAUCUCCGCAGGCGAUCGCGACGACGGCGUCGAGAACGACGCAAAGAAGCAGCGUCGUGACGCGCUCGUACCUCGGUGCACCAGGAUGAAACGUUUCCCAGGGAGAGACAGAGGAGAAAGGGUGACGGUUAAUCUUAUCAGAUCGAGGGCGGCUUGCGAGGAGAGCUUCAAAGUGCUAGGCCAAGCCGAACCGACACGACUGCACUGUUAGCGAUGGCUACUGUUUCCCUUCUGUCCAAUUCAAGUAUGAUUCAUAGUAUUCCAAGUACUUUCCCAGUUGCAUCAUCUAAACAACAGGAAAACUAAACGACAUUGUCUAAUCGUUAAAUAUUGGGUCAUCAAAGUUCAUUUUGUGUCUCUUUUAUGUUCAAUAAUUCAACUUUGUUCAACUUUGAACACAUCUUUCUAUGGUUACUUUAAAUCUAUCGCUACUCUGCGAGAACCCGGGUGAUUCUAGGCUACCUCAUUACCGUAAUUAGAGCCUUGACGAUGAUCUCGACGCAACAUCUCGUUGGGUAAACCGGUAGCUGCCGAAGAGGAUUCGAGAAGAAAGAGUCGCGUGUCCAGAUCGAGGAAUCCUCGCGUACUUUAACUAUCCCGCUACUUUCAAGCCGAUAAUUAUUUCCACAUAUAAUCAGCGAAUAGAAAAAUGAAUUUCGUGUGCACGAAACUCGUGGAACGAUGUUGGUGGUUCGUUACGCUGAUCGACGAUCUACCAUCGUUUAGAAUUCGAUUAACGAUCCUAGAUGAUAUCGAUGAACGCCGCUGGUAAUUAAUAAAUGACGCGUCGAUUCCGACGUUUUAAUUGCGCAUCGCGAUCGAUCGAAAGCGAAGUUGGAUCCAAUUAUCCAACCGUUGAUCUUGGAAUAAAUUGGUAAAUGUCUUAAAUGGCUACCAGGAAGUAGGCAUAAAUAGAGGAUCCGUGGAAAGCUUGUCGAGUGAGUCGUUCUGGCGUAGAGGAACGGAUCUGAUGAGCGAUCUGUUCGCUGAUCGCGUCAAAGGACCCGGGACGAUGAUGGAAACGCGAAGGGUGGAUGCGACACGACGCUCGACGUCGGCUCCUCGAAUAGACGCUUCUCGGUCAUCUCUAUUUCCGUCGACGCUGUUCGGGAACCGUUGCGUCACGCACAGGACGCGCAUACAUACGUGAGCGAGUAUCGGCAGAUGCAAAUAACGAGGAUGACGAUUAGCGUCCGGCGACCCGACGACCCCACGGCCGGUGGUCCAAUUUGCGGCUGCUUUGUCCAAUUACCAGCCAUUAGCCAUUACCAAUGCUGGCGCAAGACUCCUACGCCGCUUCUAGCUUCCUCUCCUCACCUACGAACUGCCACCCUCCUCGUCCCUAGACCGUCUUCCAUCGGCUCGAGCAAUCAGUUAGUCCGGAUCAUUUGAUAUUGGAAUAUCGAACGAUAUCAUGUUGAGUAGCAUGAAAUUUUCGCGGUAGCUUCGUUUAAAACCUGAAGGUGAAAUUUCGAUCACGAGAAACUGAAAAUCAAAUAAGUAUUUUUUGAUUAUUAUAUUUAGACCAGGAGGAGUUUACAAGAUAACAGUUUUAUGGAAAUAAAAUGAGAGAGGAUGUAGGUUCUCGCAGAAUAAUCCCGAGUCCAAUAUUCUCGGUUCAUUAAAAUGCCUGCUGGAAGACCGGUUAAACUAUGAAUGAGUUGCUGCCGCAAUAAUAGCGAAACAAGAAAUAGAAAUGCGCAUCUAUCUGGUUCCGUAAGUCGGUGGAGCGGUAGCCUGCCAGCUAUCGUCGAUUUGUCGCGGCCAUUCUUACGGCCGCUUUCGAAUAAGCGGAACACGGUGGGGGAGAAGCGGAGUUGGCACCGGUGGCCUAGGGCCGAUUUGCAUGCAGAACCACGGCUCGAUCGCCGUAAAUUGGAUAAACCGGAUAAUCGGGCCGGAUACGUGUUUUGGCUCGCGUUUGUGGCCGCGUUUUGACGCUCGAUGGCAAAUAGAAACCAUUCUUCAGGGUGAAAAUCGUCGCGGUAUACGUUCGAGGUGUUUCCGUGAAACUGGAACGAUGGAAAGUAAUUCCGUUUUUGUUCUUAACAUUCUGAGAACGAAACGACAGAUAUCGUGUAAAUUUCUCGAAAGAGAAGAAUCCAGUUAUUCCUCGAACAAAGAUCGACGAAGGUUUUACGAGGAUCGUGGAGGGUGUUCGGUUCGUGGCAACAGUACGAUUAUCUCGUUUCCACGGAAUGACCGGAGAAAUGCUACCUUGGGAAACGAGGAGGUGGGCCUGGAUACUCGAAGGGAGCGGCAUAAAAAUCGCGUCGAAUUGCCGGUUACAGGCAGAGGCCGUGGGCCACGAAAUUCGUUCGUCGCUCGUGGUGACUUGAUUGCCGAUCAUUUUCGGUCGCCUUAUCAGCCGCCCAUCGUGGCUGUCGCCUCGAAUACUGGGAUUAUCGUCAUCCGAUCCCGUCCUGUUCGCACCUUCCGUUUAUUCGCUACCAUGCGUGACCCACCCGGAAUGAAUUAUUUUCGAAAAUUAAGAUUCGUUCUUCGCCAAAGUGAUCAUUCAUAUAAUUUCAAGUCAUAUGUCCACGUUCAGGCGUCCAGUUUUCACGGAUGACGAGUUUGGCGAACGAUUUUGUGGGUCUGUAGGGCAGAGGGUAGGACGGACGUGGAAAGAAAGGGAUAACGGAAGGCGCCGCGUUAAUUUCACUUCGAAAAAUCGUAAAAUGCAAAUGAACGAUCGGCAGGACCCGGUUCGAUUGGCAAAUUGCGAGAGAAGGCAGCUCGGUUCCGCGCGCGCGACGGCGCCCAAGGUGGUCGAGUAAUUUUCAUGGUCUUCUCUCCUCGUCCCCGCGGUGCUGCUCCUCCUCCUUCGAGCGAGAACAAAACGAAAAGAAAUAAAAAGAACGCGGAGAAAGAGAAACGAGAGAAGCUUGGAACGAGAAGGAUGAGGAGCGUGCGCUUCGCCAUUCAGUAGAGAGGAGUUUGGCUGCAGGACAUAAAAAUGUGUUGAUUAUAUGUUGCCGCGGUUCCUCGAGCCCAUGGUGUCGUUAAGAAAACACACGACCUGCUGAUCCGGCGAGUCGUUAAACGGUGAGAUGUUCGAGGCUGUGCCAUUAGCGGGAUGACGCCGGUCACCAGGCACCCAUGACGAUUAUUAGGAUGAUAACGACGACGGUGAUGAGUCUGCUUGUGACCGACGAUCGCUUGCCCAUCGGAUCCUUUUUCAGAUGGUCGUCGUAGGUGGUGAAGACCUGUAGCUUUCCAUCGAUUUGGAACAAGAUGGAUCAACUACACCGACGAGAGGAAUAUUUAAGUAUUAGUUUUAAUCAUUUGUUUUAUAAAUCAAUCGAGAUCAAUGAAAUGAAUGAAUCGCGAGAGGGCCCGUGCCCUGACGCUCGCGGUGGCCUCUCAGCUCCGGAUGUAGCCCCCCGCGGUACCGACGCUCCGUUCGUCCGUCCGUCUGUCUGUGUGGCGGAAGAUUCCAAAUAAAUAAAAGGCAAUAAGUGCAGAGGCCCGCGCGAAACCCGUCAUUACGUGAGGCGGGCCCACCUUGUUAGCCCGCUGGGCCUCACUGACCAUAUUCAGCCGCUCAUUCAGCACCCCUUCUCGUAGGAGUGCUGGCGCCUGCGCCGUUAAAAUUGCUGGAAAUUCGUGGAAUUCCUACCUCCGACGUAUCCGCGACUGCACGAUGCUCCUUCGUUCAUCUGCUGCGAGAAAUUUCCAACUGCAGCCUGUAUUUUUCACCACCCCUUCCUCUCCCUUCGCCGUUACUCAUUGAUAAUUUGCAGUUCUAACAGGGAUAUCUUCUUCCAGUUUCUCUAUUUCUCAUCAGGAUAUUUAUGAAUGGAAAUUAGAAUCUUGAAACUUCUAAUCUUACUAUCAAUCUCAAAUUUUUUAAUUGAAAUAUUUUGUUAUAAUAUUUUCCUGUAGAGGAUCAAAGCGAUUUGAAAGAUGAAGGAAAGCCGAGGAACCGCGUUCCUGAAGGGUUUCCUGGUGUAGCCCACGCAGGAAUCGAGACCCACGCCAGUGACGGACCACCAGGAAGCCGCCACGCCCCCGACAGGCCACCUAACCCACACGAUCCGGCUCGCGUGUACGGUGCUGCUGUUGGCGGUGCACCUUGAGGUGGUGCGCGCGAAUGACUCGAACGCGGAGAGAGGAAAAGGUGGUGGCCCUGGCGGGUUAACUAACGCGCGGAAUCGCGCAAACCAGUGCCCCGAGGGUUAGGUGGGAGAAGGAGAAACAAAAAAUAAAAGCUGGGGGAGAUCGAAAGGACCAGGGGCAAAGGGAAACGAAAGGGGUGCAGGUCGAGGAGAGCCGCAAUGGCGGAUCGUACGGUGACUCGUCGCAGGGCUUCCUGUGCCUCGUUCAGGACGAAGAGGCGUGUCAGGGGAUGAAGAAGCGGUGUCGACAGAAUAAUCGUCGGCUUCGCGACGGAUUUGUCCCGUACAAACAGACGAGCACGAGGGAGAGACAGGGAGAGCCUCAAACAACCCCUCUGGGCUACCAUCUUCCUCCAUUGGGAGGAUCCUUUUCGAGGUGUCAAAAUUAACCAUAUUUGAUGAUUUUACUUAAAUUUAGAUUUCAAAAUAGCGGAGUAUCCCUGCAAGGUUCUGUCCGACGCGUGUCUAACAUUCAUUCCACUAAUUAAUCCGAACUGAUUUUCCAAACUCGAUCCUCGAAGCCAAUAUUCGCAACUCAUCCUUGGACGACUUCCAAACUUUACCUUCUUAACGUAGGAUCCUGAUUGAAAAUGCUAAGGAAGUUUCCCGGAUCCAUCUUACAGAGUUCUGGCGACCGUCAAGGGACCACAACGCUAAUUAUAGCGACUAAUUAAGAUUCUCCGAAACUUGAGCGAAUCUCAUCGCAGGAUUUUUCACGUUCUAACGACGUAAUGUUUACAGGUACGUCACUGCGGUAUUAUCCCGAGGAGGCAUCGCGUGGGUCGAUGGCAGGUGGGAAGAUGAAGGGGUGUGCACCAGGAAACACUCUGCAAUUAGAACAGACACGACGUGGGUGAGUGAAGCUAGACUGUAAAUCAAUCUGUACCAAAGUUGCGACAGCCUCGGGGAAAGAAGCGAGCAUCUGCGAGCUGAUUCGUCGAAGAGGAUUUUCUUGUAUCAGCUUUCUAUCGAAAACAUUCGUUUCUAUGAUAUUUCCUUCGACCCCGUGAACAUUCCCAAUCGAUGAACAAGCAAUUCCUCGUAACAGAUGUCAAAAAUUAAUUGCCCGUUCCGGGUAAAGGCAAUAUAAACGCGCGCACGUGACAAGAAGAAGCUGCACGAAAGGAAACUCGAUAAAAUCCGAGCAGAGAUUCGUCACGGUGCCGAUAACCGGUGGAAGAUCGUAGAACCACCCCUGACGGACGGUUCUCUGACAAAUAGACGAGACCACAGCGAACCAUCAGGUCCGAAGGGGUGGUCGGGGGUGGGAGAGCGAGGAAAGCUCCUAGGCGAAUUCAUAGACGGCCAGGAAUGCGCAAUAUUGUCGGCAGUCUGUCACGCAUUCGAUCCGGUUCCAAGACGAGAUACCAUGGACCGAUCGUGGUGGUUUUAUUACGCGGGUCCCGCGGUGGCCCGCAGAUGUAUCAGACAAUAAACUACGGCCUGUUUGGGAUUUGUGGGCCGCGUAUUAAUCUUCCCAUAUUUAUGUCGGCCCCACAAGAAAAAGCGACCGGAUCAACGGGGUGGACGCGGUCGACCCUGUAAAAGAAGGAGCAGCACGCUCGCGCGACGAAAGCAUCGAUUUUAGAUAAAAUCGGUUUACCCUUGAAAGAAAAAAAAAGAGGGGGAUUCGAUGGUUAAACGGUCUGGAUGUGGACUAUGCUGUUCUAAAUGCAAUCUGUCGAAGGAAAAGGUAAAGGUAAGGGUUGAAAUAAUACUUCCAAUCAAUGAUAUUUUGUUAGUAUACUUUUUAUUUUCGGGGUGGAGGAAUUAAUUCUUAAAUUGAUCUGUAAGUACUAUUUUACAUUACUUUUGAAUUAUCCAAACGAGUCAGACUUUCAACGUUUGAAAAUGUACCUUUUGAUAUGCAGUCGAUGGGUCAAGAACGUUGCCUGUUUCGUAUUUUUCCUGAAGCAGGUGCAGAUCGACGUUAUGUUAAUGGGCUUUCAAGAGAUUUCAGCUAACCAUAUGCCAAGGUAGCGGGGAGAGGGUAGAAAUACUAAUAGAAGCCCUUCGCAGAAGCAAGCUCGAAUAAACGAUGCCUCGUCCAGCGAGGUCCAAUCAUUUCUGACCGCCUAAGAAACGUUCUGGCUGCUCGGAACGGAAGCCAAUUUGUAAAUUGCCUCGAUAAACCACCAAACCGAUGCUGAAUUUGUGGCCGGGCAUUUUUCUACCCCCGCUGUUUAUACCGCUUUUUUUUUCUAUGCCGUUCCGCGCUUGUAAUUAGGGAGCUUCUGAAUUUUAUUCGAUGCUGAAAAGCUGUAUUAGAAUUCCUUUUUCUCUUCCAAUGAAAGCUUUUAGUUCUUGCUUCCAAUUUCUCAAAUUUUCCAAUUCUUCUACUAAAAAUGAUCGUUUAUUCAUCUCAAUGUUUCUAUACUCCUUCUUUUUCAAAUUGAUGUACGACAUUCACCUGGUUCGUUUUCCACCUUUCUCCGAGCAGAUGUCCAUUUCCAAAAUACUCAUCUAACAACUGUCGCAACCGUCCAAUUUAUCCCCGAAAUUCUUCCCAUUUAUCCCCCCUGAGCCAUCGUAACAAGUGCGUGUAUCAUCCUCUUAGUUUUUUUCAACCCCAGACGUCGAUCAUAGAUAAACCUGUAUCAAGAUGACACAUGGUGAAUCCUCGACGGGUAUUUUUCUUUUUGCACCCGAAUCUCUAUCAAGAGACAGAAGGGGUUUAUUCGAGGGUUCGUUCUAUGAUUAGCAGAGAUAAGAAUCAAGUUAUCUCGCCAUUCCGCGACGAGGAGCCGCGUAACGCAACCGCUGACGCCAUUAGAAUAUCGUGGCCGCAUACCGAGGCACCGAAAAUGAAUGCCUGGAGAAGGAAAAGGGGUGACAGGGGCGGUCGAAAUGGAAGGGGGUUAGCAGGAUCGCCGGCGCCUUUGACCAGGAACCCCGUGGCGCGUGACAUGCCUCGUCUGACCGCCAUUUAGCGUGAACCUGUCUCUGUAGCCAGCCACUCGCCUCCAGGAUGACCGUUUUGUUUUCCAAAACGAAAUCCUUCUACCUCUAUAAACAGUCUUCCAUCAACAGGGGAAAUUAUGGGGGUUGAACUACCCCUGUGCCCUUCCUGUGAAUUUUCACGUGAUUCGAUGACUUAAAAGUUUUGCUAAAUGGCACUUGUGGCAUAUCGAUUUAAAGCUUGAAGUAUAAUGAAAAUGACUGCAUAAAUGGUACACAGAUAUUUUAAUAAUUAUCUCAAUAAUUUUUAUUCCAAAGAAGGAAUGGUUGAAAUUCUUCUUCCGAGCAAAGUGCUCCCUGGACGCUGCUCCAUUUCGCCCACGCGAACUUGUCCGAUCUCGUAGUUCGCCCGGUCGAAAUUUCUACGGUGGUUGUAGUGGUGGCCGGGCUGCGGUAGUGGGUCCCGGAGUUAUGUUACGGCCGGCCAUAAACGAAAUGAGAAAACUGUCCGGUCGCCGUUGAAAAAUCUCCGCGGAAUACAAAUGCUUGAUUUUUUCGGGCGGCGUUCGCUUUUUGUCGACCGUGCCUACGAGGAUCUCUCGUGCCCUCGGGGAAACGCUGUACGCUCGACAAAUGAUACGCCGAUCGUAACGAGAGAACGGUAAUAAUAAUCGUUUAGCUGUCGUGUAUCCUUUGAUUCCGUGGCCGAUUUUUAUUUUAUCAUUCGUGAAACGAUUCUUCAAAAUUUCGAAGUUGAACAAGUUGGGACCGCGUUGAAAAAUUAACUAAUAAAUUAAAGAAGCUUCUGGGGACAGUCGCGUCGAUCUGAAUAGGGGGCAGUCGAUCGAGCUUUUCUUUCGAUUCAUGGCUCGCAAUUAAUCUCGAUCUCGUUCCCGUAGCAUGCUGCCGGCGCGGUCGUUAAUUCGGCGCUGACGAAGGGGACGGAGUGGAGGGCCUGAAAGAAGGCCCCCCAGUACCCCCUCUCACCGUUCCGCUUGUAAGAAGCGAACACGAUGACAUUCGUACGGGCCCGAGAAAACGAGUCGGGCUACAUGGAAGCCUACACGAGCGAACGGACGAUUCGGAAUCAGAUGUUAUCUUUGACGAGGGCUGCCGCUGGUGGGGGAGCUCGGGGCCCUUUCUCGGUGCCCCGCGCCAAGAUACGGAUCUCCUUGGCGCCACCGUCUCUCCCAGGCUCUUCCAGCGGGCCAAGCAAGUAGCGAUGCCCGCUCGAUUCCUCUAUUUUACUUCGUUUAAUUGCACUUUCGGUACGCGUUGCUUUGUAAAAAUCCAGGGGUCGUGUAAUUCUUACGAUCCUCAGGACCCUAAACUAACGAGCCGGUCUAAUAUUCAAUUUUUCUUUAUCUAUGUACAGUGGAUCGCAAAAGUAUUCGCGCACCGUUUAAAAUAGAAUACCUCAUUUAAAAUUGGACCAAAUGAUUUGAGGUUUCUCGAGAAGAUUUAAAUUGUGAUGUUAAAAAAUUUUGAAAAAAAAUAGUGGAGGGUAACAUAAUUUGUACUUAUGGUGAUUAGAAAUUAAUAUCAUUUCUAAUAAUAAUUAAUAUUAUUCUUCUUUUGAUAUUUCCUGGUUUCUCUCGAUCGAGCUCCCUGGUUCUCGUGUCACGAAUAAAGGCACGAUUGCCCGGCGUCAAAUUAACCGCGUUUCCCUGCAUCGAAGCACGGUAACUCGCUAUCCAAGCGGAUUAAUGUCACCAGAACACGAGCGGAAUCGUGUCCCGUGAGUGAAUUCGAUCGAAGCCUCGAUACCGAGGAUCAUCCAGGUACACGAGACGACACGCGCGGACGAUAACGAACAGCACCGGGAGCGAGGAAAAGGAAAAGGAUACAGAGUCCCGUUAUCAAUCGUUGAAACUUCGUUUCGACGGAGGAGACAAAGCAGACCGGUGCUGGCACCCCGCUGGGGUAUCGGUUACGCUUAAACCGCGUUUAGGGCCCUCGAAAGCCGGCUCCCCGAGACCCAACAGGAGCCCUGUCUCGCAGUGAUGGACUUAAGAGGGCCCGAAUCACUUGCUACGCUCCACCAGUUCGCUUCGUUUUAUUUGUUUGCCAGGCCGUCAUCGCUUCUAUCCUGAGGACACCUUUCGUCUUGUAAUUAAAACGUACUUUUUGUGUCCCUCAUUAGAUAAAUGAAGCAGCAGGGUAACUAGAGAAAGUCAGGGGGGGAUAAUUCGUCCCCCUAUUAAGAAACAAAAAAUCUUUCUCUUCUAAUAAAUAGAAUAUUUUGAGAAAUUUAAGAAAAUCUCUAUCUGAAAUAUGAAUCUGGUUUGCAAGUUCUUACGAAUAUCAACUAAUUGACCAAUCCCAAUAAAUUCCAUCGUGAGAUGAACUUCUAAUAACAAUAGACGUAUUUUUUCAAGCAAUAAAAUAACAGAAGGCAAGAAAUUGAACGGCGCGUUUGUGACUUAAUGGGUCAGGUAAAUCGGAGUAUGUUUGAUAAAUACGGCUAAUGCCACGUACGUUUGAACAAUGGAAAAUUGCGUGCAUACGUCGCCAUGUUUGAAACAGAUAAAGCGUAUAACUCAUGACUAGUCGGGGUACGAUGCAAAUAUCGAGAACAAUGAAACGACGAGGCUCGCAUUAAUUAAGUCGUAAGCAGAAUAGAGAGACGUUCUUCGAUUCGUUGAUCGAGCGUCUCGCAAGGAGCCGAGCUAAUUGGCUCUCUAACCAAAUAAUUGACAGUAAGUAGGAAAUGAGAAGUUAUUCCUCGUAGGAGUUGUUUGUCGUCUCCCACUUUUCUUUCGCCUCCCUCCUUGAAUCGCUAUCGCGAAUCGACGGCCGAAUUAACGAGCGAACGUGGUAAUUAACGGUAACCAAGCAAUCGAAGCCGCCAUUUUACCGGAAGCUUCUCCGCGGUAUCAACGCGCUUCUUGCUUUUCUCUUUUAAACAAACCCCAUUAGCUAAUCGUACGAAUCGUAGAAGAAGUUGACCGCGUGAAAAACAGGAUUGAAAGGGUCGAAAUAAUUGGUAGAUAAUCUUCCGGAGGGGUUUGUCUCGCUCAAGUACCACUGUCCUCGACAAAAAUUACCGCAAUAGGCUUAUUGCGACCUCGAAGGAUUUCCCUUGCUUCUGUUCUCUGCGUAGGAUCAUUUUUCCACGUAAUCCUGAUAAACUGGAACCGUGCUGAACGAUCCUAAGUCCCAGAGGCUUUGGUUAAUCGCGCGCGGUUGUAACAAUCCUGUUGUUCCAUUCUAUAGAAAAAUUCAUACAAGUCGAAUUAUUUACACUUGACUGAUUAAUCGUUGGUGUACCGAAUGUUUUUAUUUCAAGAAAAAAGAAAAUAUAGGUGUAAUAUAAUCGAAGAGGGUAAGAAUCAUAAUGGUUCCGGAGAAGAUAGGCUGGCGCCGUCGAAGAUGGCCAUGGAAAACGCCCAGUCUAGCUAGGAUGACGUUGUAAAUAUUUUCUGUCAUUGGCGGCUCCGUGUCAGAGGCCGUCUUGUCUUCGCUUUAAUAAAGGUACUGGCAGCGUAGGUACCUCUUUUGGAAAGCGUGUCACCUGAGCCUGGUAUCGGACACUGAUGGUGCGGAUAGCGGCGCUUUGUGUCUUUCGUGUACCCCUCACGCUCGAAAAGAUCACCGGCCCUCAAAAGACCUGCCCUCGCCAUUCAUCACUUCCGCUCUCUUUUGGUCCCCGGCAGCAGCGAAAAAGUCAAUCCGCAGAUCUUGUGUGCGAAGGAGAAGAAAACUUUUGUGGACGAAAAAAGGAAGUACCAUUUUUUUUUCUCUUUUUAUUGGGAUGCGAAUUUUUUAAUUAACCAAACUCUAUUUUCUAGAAUUUUUAAAUAUUAAAUUUAUUUUUCGAAAUCAAGGAUCCAAAUACACUUAAGUUUAUUCCAUAGGUUCUUGUCCACCUCCCAUCCAGAGCAAGAUUCCAUGAUCGUUCAAUGGUAAAUUCGCUAAUUUGCACUUGCAACACUUGUCGCAAGAUGUUCGCGUAAAAGGCACACUCGAAUGUGUCCGGCGUCGUUUGCGUCGAGGCGGCAGAAAAGGUAAUUUGCAGAUUCCAACGAACAGGUUUUAACUGAACACAGUCGGGGUGCUAAUUUGUCCCGACGCGGAGAUAAGGAUCUGGCAAAAAGGGUUUGACACAAAACGAAGCAAUUAAAAUGAUAAUGCGACCAGGCAGGAUCGUCUUUUAUAGCGUCCUAGAGAAACUCUAUGAAGAACCGACACAGAUUUCACGGAGGAAUCUAAAUUGCAAACAGUUUCGUCAGAACUGACUCUGGUACCGUUCCGAAUUUAUGUCCCUUCGCGAUGUAGC
Non-coding RNA from Osmia lignaria (orchard mason bee), 49148 nucleotides. NCBI's taxonomy places the organism in Eukaryota, Metazoa, Arthropoda, Insecta, Hymenoptera, Megachilidae. The record is from RefSeq and is a predicted model, not a curated record.